RNAcentral lists this long non-coding RNA (83350 nucleotides) under Zea mays. RNAcentral's name for it is "long non-coding RNA (ZMAY_LNC002145)". Lineage: Eukaryota; Viridiplantae; Streptophyta; Magnoliopsida; Poales; Poaceae. The record is from RNAcentral.
ACAACUGCAACAAUUGCCGCCAUUCAACCAACUUGCGUUGACAAACCCAACAGCGUUCUACCUACAACCCAUCAUUGAUGGUGCCCUCUGUUAGAUUGCUUAUGAGUUAUAGUUCAAUAAUGAAGUUUUUUGGUUGAUGUUUGUGGCUUCCCAGAAAUAAUAAAGUACAUUUCUAGAUUCUCAUGUGCUACUUGUCUCCAAAUGUGGUUGAUAAUUAUUUUGCUCUAAGAUCGAGAGUAAUGAUGUAUAAAUCAUCGUUGUCGUGUGAUACUCGGUCAAUUGAGCAUUAGCACACACAAACAUGACGAGAAUGGUAUAAUCUCCAAAAAUAUGUACUUUGUAGGUGGGACCCUAUAGCCAUGCAAAAUAUGCUAUGUUAGGCAUGCCGAUGGAAACAUGUGAUGCAUAUGUUUCGUGAACCUGUUGAUAUUAUAUGUGAUUUAUAUUACGAUAUUUUACUAAAAUACUAAUAUUUAUUACUAGUAAGUUAUAACAUUCUAUCAAUCUUAAAAACCUAACCAUAAAUAUUCCAUCGUAACUAGGUUUACCAAACUAUACAAAUACACAAUAAAUACAAAAUUAACAAUACAAUAACCAAUAUUUAUGAGCUUAAUAAAUUUAAUUUUAGGGUUGGUCGAUGAUAAUCAUAUUGACUUCCCCUGACUCCUUGAUUGUAAAUAUGCCUAGACCAUGCCUCUUUCUACUAUACGGCAAACAGGGACCACUCUAGGAGACUAGGACGUUGCUUGAGACGAAGACGCCAUCAUUGAUGUAGACUAUCGACCAUCUGACUGCAGUCGAUAAAAAUUAACUAUUUCUGUGAGGCGUUUGACCAAAAAUGACAAAACUUUACUAGGUUCUGUUGGUUGAGUGAGGGCCGACAAAAGUUGAUAAAUUUUCGUGGGAUUAUUUCAAGCCGACAUAAAUUAUUUUGGCUAAUGGAAGUUUCUUUUUUCCUUAGUUGUGUGGUGCUAUACAUAUGCAUGUCUGAUUCACGUGAUAAACUAGGCUAGAAAAACAAUUAUUUGACAUGGAUUGUUGUGGAGGACCAUACCAACUGUGACUGCCAUCUCAAUCCAGCUGACAUCUAAGUGACCUUUGAAUAAAUUAUUAAGCUGACAAAACUUUGACACCAAGAAGAAAGUUUAAGUAUGUAAAUAUUUAUGUUCAUCAAGCUGCUAUUCCCUAUCAUUGGCAUGAACAUUGUCAUCAUUUAGUUCCUAAGAAUAUAAUAAAAACAAGAAGAGCCACCUCACGAGAAUCCUUUAACAUAGACUAAAUAGUAGUUUUUGUGGAACACAACAGAACUGUACACCAUUUUCAGCGGCCAAGGUUAUUUUCGGCGGCCAGGACUUAGCCGCCGAAAAUAAACCUAUUUUCGGCGGCUUCUGACACAGCCGCUGAAUAUACAUUUAUUUUUGGCGGCUACUAACACAACCGCCGAAAUAAGGUUUUUAAAACCGUCGGGCUCCUUCUCUAUUCUCUCUGUUUCUUCUCUUCUUCUCCUCGCUCGGUCGCCGCCGUACGCCGCCACGCCGCCCGCCCGUCGCCGCCGUGCCCGCCACAGCUACAUCCACGCCCCCGCCGAGGCGCCGCGCCACCCCGUGCAGCCAUGCCCCCGGCGGCUCCGUCUCGUCGUCUGCCGUCACCCUCGGCUCCCAUCGACCAAGAAAACUUGAAUACUCCUUAGCCAAAAAAUGGAUGAAUUUCACCUUCCUUAUCUUAAGCUCCUUGAUUUUUCUACUAAGUGUCGCUAUUCUAACCAUUAUCCCUUGGGUAAACCAUAUUUGAUUAUCCAGCCAAAGGACCCAGAAGAUAAAAACAAUUUUUAAUUGCUAUUUCGAGACAAAUGAAUUAGCGUGAUUCGAAAAGGAUUACGACCUUCCCCCUUGACCUUUGUCAUACUUCUUUAGUCUAAUCGAUAGAAUCAAGAAUAGAAAUCACUGAAGAAGUUGAUAAGCGAAGCUUCGACGAUAAUAGGAACAUGGUGACAAUAGGACGAACGAUGAUGCCUUUGUCUAAGAAUGUUAUCUAGAAGAAAUCUCAAUCAAUUGUCGGUACAACGAAAAGAUAGAAACAUGCACCCUUGAGUAUGAAACAUUUAUAUGUAAGAGGAAGGAGGAAUGUAAUUGCUCAUGCCUAAUCAUAUUAUUGAGAGUUUUAAGGCGAGACUUAUGGCAAAGGGUUAUACACAAAAAUAGGGGAAAGGUCAUUUCAAUACUUAAUCAAUUUUUGCCCUUCUAAUGACCAUACAUGUGUUACUUUUUUUGGCUGCCUCACAUGGUCUUAUCGUUCACCAGAUGAAUGUUACGUCUGUUUUCCUAAAUGGAGAGCUUAAUGAACAGAUCUACAAUGACUAGCCUGGUGGAUUUACACCAAUUGGUAAAGAGGAAAAGGUGUUUAAAUUAAAACAAAUUUAUGGUUUAAAACAAGAACCAAAGCACAUGAGAAAUUUGAUAAAGUUUUGACUUUGGCUAAAUUUGUUGCAAAUGAAGCUGAUAAAUGUGUCCAUUACCGGUUUGACAGGGGUGAAGGUAUAACAUUUUUUAUGUGGAUGAUAUAUUAAUCUUUUGUAAUGGUGUUAAUAUGAUCGAGGAAGUAAAGUAAUUUUUGUCUAGUAACUUUGAAAUAAACAAUCUGGGAGAGAUUAAUGUUGUUCUUAACAUAAAGAUGUUCAGAGGAGGAGGAAAUAUGGGGUUAUUCUUGUGCAAUCCUAUUAGGUUGAAAGGUCGAUGAGUUGCUUUGGAUAUAGUGACUACACGUCUGGUCCAACUACUUAUGACCCAAGUGUGCUAUUAAGGAAAAUCAUAUAAUCGCAUAUGAUCAAUUGAGAUAUUGUCAAAGCAUGGUCUUCUCAUGGAUUUGGCUAGUUCAACGAGGCCUGAUAUCUCGUUUGCUAUGAGCAAACUCAGUUGCUUUGUCUCCAAUCUUAGGGAUGAUCAUGACAUGCCCUAGAGAGGGUAUUGCGCUAUCUAAAAGGGACUAUGAGUAAUGUCAUUUACUAUACCACACACCUAAGGGUACCAGAGUGUUAUAGUGAUGCAAACAAAAUAUGUGAUGGUGAUUAGAUUUAAGCCACAAGUAGAUAUGUGUGCUUACUUGAAGGUGUGGUUGUUUCAUCGAAGUCUUGUAAGCAGACCAUCUUAACAAGGUCAACAAUAAAAGUAGAACUCACAACAUUAGAUAUUGCCAAAGUUGAUGCCGAGUGGCUUCGUGAACUCCUUAUGGAUUUACUAGUAGUUGAAAAUCGAAUACUGGUUAUCUAUAUGAGCUAUAAUGAUUAAACAUUGGUAAUCAAAGUGAACAAUUCUUAGGUUAACAUGAAUACUACAAAGCAUGUCAAAAAACGGUUGAAACUGUUAAAACACCAAGAAAUUCUAGAUUAAUUGUGUUGGACUAUGUCCAUACUUCUAAGAAUUUGGUAUGCGAGUUUAUAGAAGAUUUGUCACAUAAUGUGAUAGAUGGUGCAUCGAGGAAGAUGGGCUUGAGACCCACUUAAUGCCAUUCCAUAGUAGUAGCAUUUUCUAUGUGAUUGGAGAUCUCAUAGAGUAGAAUGGUGAAACAAGCUAGAGAAUGACUGAUGGAGAGACUCCUUAAAUAAAAUCUAGGUAAUUUCAUAUGCACAUUUCUCCUUUGAUGUACGAUAGGCUAACUAAAAUAUUAAUAUGAUUUGAGUGACUUAUCUAAGUAGGGAUGUUAUCUUACAGAACAUCCUAGAAGGAACACACCUAUAUGAGUUUCACUGCUAGUCACGAUCUAUGAUAUGUGGGCAAUAUUUAUAUACUCAUGAAAGGCCUCGAAGUUUGACUUAUAUGAUUCAAGCCAAGGGGAUUCUUGUAAUAGUCUAGUACGAGAUAAGAACUUUGGAGAAACUCACUUCAUGCAAAAUUGUCAAUUCAAGGUAUAGUCCAUUGUUCAGAUAUGAAUAUGUAAUCCCUGUUCUAGAUGGAUGGUCAACUUAACAGCCUCCACCAAAACCCUUAUAUAUCAAAGAGUAGUGGAUUUGAAUUUGUCUAAUUUGAAUUUGUCUAAUAUGUAGUUUAUGGGCUUGGCUCAUUUAAAGUAUUUAAUAAUUCUGAAAGACAAGAUUAAACUAACUAUGUAUGAUCCUUUAGCAUCGUGCAGAUGGUCAAUGGGACAGUUACAUGGUUUAUAUAGAUGGACCUAUCUAUAUUCCUUCAGUAGUUGAGAAAAAGGUAAAGGUGUGUCACACUCACACAUGCGCUGCCUCCACCGAGACAAGGCAUGGCGUUGCAAGGUGAGGCAUGGCAUGGUGCAACACGAUCGCAGUCAUGGUCGUGGCGCGGUGUAGCAUUGUUGUGGAUAGAUCGAUAAACUAUUGUUGUAGUUAGAGUACAUGAGUUUUUGAAUGCAACACUAGAAUUUUCUCAAUUUAACUUAAUUAAGAAAUUAUAUCUUGAUGACAUAGAGUUACCUGACCAUUGAUCUCACAUGCCCUUUUAGCUCUCUCGUUCUCUAGUCUCGCCUGACUAUUUAGGUCUCCUGACUCGCCAAUAGAAAGACCAUCCUAUCAUUUGCUCUCGAAUACUUCUGUGUCAUAACUUGAAAGUCGCCUAGAGCGGGAGGUGAAUAGGCGAAACCUAAAAUUUAUAAACUUAAACACACACAAAGGUCGGGGGUUAGAGUUAGAAUUAAAUUCUAGUCCAGAAGAAUAUCUCUGUUGCUAGGAGUUGCUCAAGGAUUGCAGAUGAUGUAUGUGAGCCAACUCAAAUUCACACUAGCAAGGAAAUGUUAGAGAGAGGAAAACAAAUCAAACAAGAAUCAAGGCGAGUGAACACGAUGAUUUGUUUUACCGAGGUUCGGUUCCAAAGAACCUAGUCCCCGUUGAUGAGGUCACAAAGACCGGGUCUAUUUCAACCAUUUCCCUCUCUCAAACGGUCACUUAGACCGAGUGAGCGUUUUCCUUAAUCUCUCGGGUCACUUAGACCCCGUAAGGACCACCACACACUUAGUUGUCUCUUGCUUCAAUUACAAGUCACUUGAGAAAUAGACGGGAAAAGAAAAAGGCCAAACCAAGCAACAAGAGCAACAAAGAACACAAGAUAUCCUCUCACAAGCCCUAAUGCACUAGAGUUGAUUUUGGGGCUUUGAGUGGAUUGAUUGCUUUGAUUGUGUCUUGGAGUGUUGGACUUUGCUCUUGCAAUGAAUGAGAGUUCAGAAAUGCUUGGAUGGUUAUGAAUGAGGUGGUUGGGGGUAUUUAUAGCCCCCAACCACUUCCAUAGCCGUUGGUGAAGGCUGCUAGCGAUGGGCGCACCGGACAGUCCGGUGCAUCACCGGAGAGCCACUGUGUACUGUCCGGUGCGCGCCACAUCAGCGCAACCGUUAGGGUUCGGAGCUGGUCAACCGUUGGAGUCUUUGUCGUCUUGUUGCACCGGACAGUCCGGUGCCCUCUGACUUCUGACAUCCACUGUUCAUCGCGACAGAGUCGACCGCUGGCGCAUAGAGCCGUUGCUCCGCUGGUACACCGGACAGUCCGAUGAAUUAUAGCGAAGCGCGCCCUAGAAUUCCUGAGAGUGGCUGGUUCAUCUGCUGUACGACCUGGUGCACCGGACCCUGUCCGGUGCGCCAUUUUUUAGCACACUCAAGUCCUUUUGCUCCAAUUAAAUUGUGUCCCUAACUUAAUUUCUUUCUUGGUUUGUGUUGAACCUUAUGCACCUAUAAUACAUGAAUUCUUGACAAACUAGUCAGUCCAUGUGUUUGUGUUGGUCGUCAACCACCAAAAUUAAUUAUAGGAAAUGGUUAACCCUAUUUCCCUUUAAAUCUCCCCCUUUUUGGUGGUUGAUGCCAACACAAACCAAAGCAAAUAAUAAAUGUAGAAAUAUAACUAGUUUGGAAUUGAGAUGAAUGUGCAUAGGUUACUUGGAAUUAAACCAAUAAAAUAUUUUCAACAUAUGAAUAAGAGUGAAUGGAUUGGCUUUCUUUUAUUUAAUAUUUUGGACCACAUUUGCACCACAUGUUUUAUUUUUGCAAAUCUUUUGGAAAUCUAUUCAAAAACUUCUGCAAAUAGUCAAAGGUAUAGGAAUAUGAUUGCAAGAAGCAUUUUUUAGGAUUUUGAAAUUCCUCCCCCUGUUUCAAAUGCUUUUCCUUUGACUACAUAAAAGCUCCCCCUAAAUGAAAUUCUCCCCUUAGCUUUCAAGAGGGUUUUGAAGUAGAUACCAAUUGAAAAAAUUUCUCUCACAUAUGAGUUGAAAGUUAGAUACCAAUUGAAAAUAUAUUAAUUGAAAUUCUUCCAUACUUAAUGUGAAGUUUUGAAGAUACCAAUUGAGAAAUUUUCUUCACAUACCAAUUGAAAAUUCAUUUUGAUCAAAUACCAAUUGAAAUAUACACCAGUUGAAGUUUACCAAUUAAAGAAAAUUUCAUUUUGAAUUUUUUUGAAAUGGUGGUGCGGUCCUUUUGCUUUGGGCUUAAUAUUUUCUCCCCCUUUGGCAUUAAGCGCAAAAAAUGGAGAAUUCGAGAGCCCUUUUUCUCCCUUUAUGGGGUCUAAUACUUUCUCACAAAUGGUAAAAUGAAUAUGAGUGAAUGAUUAUACCAAUUGAGAGUGUGGAGGAACAACGACAAAGGGUAUACCGUCAGAGUUGGAGUGGAAGCCUUGUCUUUGCGGAAAACUCCAUUUCUUUUUCAAUCUACGACUUAGUAUAGAAAUACACUUGAAAACACAUUAGUCAUAGUCUUGGCACAAGAAGAGUAAGAAAUAUGUAUUUGCACCAAAUGAAAGAGAUAUGAUCAAAUGUAUAUAAAUUAGCUAUGUGUGCAAAGUUUCAAUCAAAGUUCCGUGAAUCAAGUAUAUUUAGCUCAUUCCUAAGUUUGCUAAAUGUUUUCUCAUCUAGUGGCUUGGUAAAGAUAUCGGCUAAUUGGUUGUGGGUGCUCACAUAAGCAAUUUCGAUAUCCCAUUUUGUUGGUGAUCUCUCAAAAAGUGAUACCGGAUGUCUAUGUGCUUAGUGCGGCUAUGUUCAACGGGAUUAUCCGCCAUGCGGAUUGCACUCUCAUUAUCACAUAGGAGAGGGACUUUGCUCAAUUUGUAUCCAUAGUCCCUAAGGGUUUGCGUCAUCCAAAGUAAUUGCGCACAACAAUGACUUGUGACAAUGUACUCGGCUUUGGCGGUGGAAAGAGCUACAGAGUUUUGUUUCUUUGAAGCCCAUGACACCAGGGAUCUUCCUAAAAACUGACAAGUCCCUGAUGUGCUUUUCCUAUCAAUUUUACAUCCGGCAUAAUCGGCGUCGGAAUACCCAAUUAAAUCAAAGGUAGAUCCCUUGGGGUACCAAAGCCCAAACUUAGGAGUGUAAACUAAAUAUCGCAUGAUUCUUUUCACGGCCCUAAUGUGAACUUCCUUAGGAUUUGCCUGGAACCUUGCACACAUGCAUAGAGAGAGCAAAAUAUCCGGUCGAGAUGCACAUAAAUAGAGUAAAGAUCCUAUGAUCGACCGAUAUACCUUUUGAUCUACGGAUUUACCUCCCGUGUCGAGGUCGAGAUGCCCAUUGGUUCCCAUGGGUGUCUUGACGGGUUUGCCAUUCUUCAUCCCAAACUUCUUAAGUAUAUCUUGUAUGUAUUUUGUUUGGCUGAUGAAGGUGCCCUCUUGGAGUUACUUGAUUUGAAAUCCAAGGAAGUACUUCGACUCCCCCAUCAUAGACAUCUUGAAUUUCUGUAUCAUGAUCCUACUAAACUCUUCACAAGUUGACUUGUUAGUAGACCCAAAUAUAAUAUCGUCAACAUAAAUUUGACAUAUAAACAAGUAUUUUGCAACAGUUUUAGUAAAGAGAGUAGGAUCGGCUUUACCGACUUUGAAUCCACUAGUGAUAAGAAAAUCUCUCAGACAUUCAUACCAUGCUCUUGGGGCUUGCUUGAGCCCAUAAAGCGCCUUUGAGAGUUUGUAAACAUGGUUAGGGUACUCACUAUCUUCAAAGCCGGGAGGUUGCUCAACAUAGACCUCUUCCUUGAUGGGUCCAUUGAGGAAGGCACUUUUCACGUCCAUUUGAUAAAGCUUGAAGCCAUGGUAAGUAGCAUAGGCAAGUAAUAUACGAUUUGUCUCAAGCCUAGCUACAGGUGCAUAAGUUUCAUCAAAGUCCAAACCUUCGACUUGUGAAUAACCUUUGGCCUCAAGUCGGGCUUUGUUCCUUGUCACCACACCAUGCUCAUCUUGCUUGUUGCGGAAUACCCAUUUGGUACCUACAACAUUUUGAUUAGGACGUGGAACUAAAUGCCAUACCUCAUUCCUCGUGAAGUUGUUGAGCUCCUCUUGCAUUGCCACCACCCAAUCCGGAUCUCUUAGUGCAUCCUCUAUCCUGUAUGGCUCAAUAGAGGACACAAAAGAGUAAUGUUCACAAAAAUGUGCAACUCGAGAUCUAGUGGUUACCCCCUUGUGAAUGUCACCAAGAAUGGAGUUGACGGGGUGAUCUCGUUGAAUUGCUUGGUGGACUCUUGGGUGUGGCGGUCUUUGAUCUCUUAUUUCUUGAUCAUCUUCCUUGUCUUGGUUAUCAUCAUCUCCCCCUUGAUCCAUGUCCUCCUCUUGAGGUGGCUCAUCCUCUUGAUCUUCAUCUUCAUUAUCUUGAGCCUGAUCCUCGUCUUGAGUUGGUGGAGAUGCUUGCAUGGAAGAUGACAAUUGAUCUUGUGCUUGUGAAGGCUCUUCGAAUUCCUUGGGACACAUAUCUCCAAUGGACAUGUUCCUUAGUGCGACGCACGGAGCUUCUUCAUCAUCUAGUUCAUCAAGAUCAACUUGCUUCACUUGGGAGCCAUUAGUCUCAUCAAACACAAUGUCACAAGAUACUUCAACUAAUCCAGUGGAUUUGUUGAAGACUCUAUAUGCCCUUGUGUUUGAGUCAUACCCUAGUAAAAAGCCUUCUACAACCUUAGGAGCAAAUUUAGAACUUCUACCUCUUUUAAUAAGAAUAAAGCAUUUACUCCCAAAGACUCUAAAAUAUGAAACAUUGAGAUUUUUACCAGUGAGGAGUUCAUAUGAUGUUUUCUUGGGGAUUCAGUGAAGGUAGAGCUGGUUGAUGGAGUAGCAAGCGGUGUUGAUUGCUUCUGCCCAAAACCGUUCCGGAGUCUUGUAUUCAUCAAGCAUGGUUCUUGCCAUGUCCAAUAGAGUUCUAUUCUUCCUCUCCACUACACCAUUUUGUUGAGGUGUGUAGGGAGAAGAGAACUCAUGCUUGAUGCCGUCCUCCUCAAGAAAUCCUUCAAUUUGAGAGUUCUUGAACUCCGUCCCAUUAUCGCUUCUUAUCUUUUUGAUCCUUAAUCCAAACUCAUUUUGAGCACGUCUCAAGAAUCUCUUUAAGGUCUCUUGGGUUUGAUAUUUUUCCUGCAAAAAGAAUACCCAAGUGAAGCGAGAAUAAUCAUCCACAAUAACAAGACAUUACUUACUUCCGCCGAUGCUUAUAUAAGCAAUCAGACCGAAUAGAUCCAUGUAGAGUAGCUCAAGUGGCAUGUCCGCUGUCAUGAUGUUUUUGUGUGGAUGAUGGACUCCAACUUGCUUCCUUGCUUGACAUGCGCUACAAAUCAUGUCUUUCUCAAAAUGAACAUUUGUUAGUCCUAAAAUGUGCUCUCCCUUUAGAAGCUUAUGAAGAUUCUUCAUUCCAACAUGGGCAAGUCGGCGAUGCCAGAGCCAGCCCAUAUUAGUCUUAGCAAUUAAGCAAAUGUCUAGUUCAGCUUGGUUAUCAUUAAAAUCAACUAAGUAUAGCUGACCAUCUAAUACUCCCUUAAAUGCUACUGAAUCAUCACUUCUUCUAAAGACAGUAACACCUACAUCAGUAAAUAAAUAAUUGUAGCCCAUUUUGCAUAAUUGGGAAAUAGAAAGCAAAUUGUAAUGUAAAGAAUCUACAAGAAAAACAUUGGAAAUAGAAUGGUAAGAAAAUAUAGCUAUUUUUCCCAACCUUUGACCAAACCUUGAUUUCCAUUCCCGAAUGUAAUAGCUCUUUGGGGAUCUUCAUUUUUCUCAUAGGAGGAGAACAUCAUUUUCUCCCCUGUCAUGUGGUUUGUGCACCCGCUAUCGAUUAUCCAACUUGAUCCACUGGAUGCAUAAACCUGCAAAACAAUUUAGGCCUUGUUCUUACGUACCCAAACAGUCUUGAGUCAUUUGACGUUAGAAACAAGCACCUUGGGCACCCAAACACAAGUCUUGGGACUCUUGUGUUUGCCCCCAACAUAUUUGGCAACUAUCUUGCCUGAUUUGUUAGUUAAAACAUAUGAAGCAUCAAAAGUCUUAAAUGAAACAUUAUGUGCAUUUGAUGCAGUAGGAAUUUUUUUUCUAGGCAUUUUGACAUGAGUGGUAUGCCUAGAGCUAGACGCCUCAUUUUUGUACAUAAAUGCAUGGUGAGAAACAGAAUGAGGUUUCCUAGCAUGAAUCUUCAUAAUCUUAUGUUCAAGAUAGUUUGCAGGAUAUACAAUGUAACCCUCACUAUCCUAAACCAUGGGAGCCUUACCCUUAACAAAAUUAGACAAUCUUUUAGGGGUAUUAAGCUUGGUGUUGUUUUGAUUUCCUUGUUGGAAACCAAUACCAUCCUUAAUGUCAGGGCGUCUCCCAUUAUAGAGCAUGCUUCUAGCAAAUUUAAAAUUUUCAUUCUCUAACUCAUGCUCGGCAAUUUUAGUAGUUAAUUUAGCUAUAUGAUCAUUUUGUUGUUUAAUCAUGGCAAGGUGAUCAUCCAUAGCUUCAAUAUUAACAUCUCUACAUCUAGUGCAAAUAGUAACAUGAUCAACAGUAGAUGUAGAUGGUUUGCAGGUAUUUAAUUAUUCUAUCUUAGCACUUAAUCUAAUAUUCUCAUCUCUAAGACAGGAAAAAGGAUCAUUGCAAACAUUCAAUUUUUCAAUCUUAGAAACUAAACUAGCAUUUUCAGUUCUAAGACUUGAAAUUGAAUCAUGAUAAAUGCUAAUAUCCUUAGAUAAGUUUUCACAUUUUCUAUUUCCUGAGCAUAAGCAUUUUUUAAUUUAACAAUUUUAUUGUUCUAUUUAACGAGGAAGUCCUCUUGGCUUUCCAAGAGGUCAUCCUUCUCGUUAAUGGUUUCAAUUAGUUCAUUUAUUUUUUUCUUUUGUUCCAUGUUAAGGUUGGCAAAAAGAGCAAGUAAAUCAUCUUCAUUAUCGCUAGAGCUACCCUCAUCACUAGAUGUUGUAUAUUUGGGGUGGCUCACUAUACGACGGUUGAUCUUUAGCGACUCUUAUUAGGGACUGACGGUUGGUCGCUAAAAGUUAUGGACCGACGGUUGGUCGCUAAAUGCGUUUAUAGCGACGGUCUGUGGGUCGCUAAAAGUCUAGAAAUUUAACGACAUAUGGUUGGUCGCUAUAGAGGUAAGUGUGUGACUGAUGGUGGGUCGCUAUAGGGGUACGUGAUUUUUGUGUUUCUUAUUUACUCACCAAAGCCCAUCUAAAGGCCUACUAAACAAACGAAACCCUAUUUCACGCACCAAACCACAAGCGCAGCCGCCGUCACUUCUGCCCCAUCACGGCCCCAUCCUGCCGCUCGUCGACGACGCCACCCCGCCCCUCGGCCGCGGUCGCCGUCAGGCAGCCAGCCACCGCGACAUUGGCCAUGAUUUUUUGUGCCUGUUCUUGCUUAACUUUAUAACUGAUAAAGUUUCCAAUCACAAGAUUUACUUAAUUUAUACUAUUAUUAUCUUCUGUUGCAGUAUUUCCUUAUUAUUAAAGCAGCAAGGUUUGCCGCUUCCUCGUGUGUCCACGUCGGCAAAUUUUUUUGCCGUCCGAUCGUUCAUCAAUGGUGACAAUCUCACCCCUGCACAGUGUGUGUGGAUGGUUCUAGUUUCUUCUCUCACCAGCUCAUGCGUCUCCAAAGUAAAAAGGAUAAGAGAGACUCUGGGUUGCCGAGGUCCGCUUUCGUAACUACAGGAGGUAGGCAAAGGAGACGGCGACGACGAAGAACAUGUACUUCCUCCAUUACGUCCUCUAUUCCUAUCAUUGCCUUUCGUUUCUUUUCUUUUCUACAAUCGGCGUUACCUGCUGCAGUCGACGGCUCGGUCCCCUUGGUAUCUAAUGCCUUUGCGCGGCACCUGAGUUCUACACUUGCGACGAACUUGAGCAUUGCAUUCGUCGUUGUUCUUGUGUCCAUUCUUGUCUCUGACUCGGGCCGCCGCGAGUUCCUCCAUUCCCACUGCCAUGGAAUACGCCAGUGCGCUGAAUGACGCCUGCGUCUUCACGGAUCUCCUCCUCCUUUUGGCUAACAUGGCUCCUCAAAGAUGACCGCGUACGUUUGUCGAGCGGCGCUGGCAAGGGCCACGUGAACUGCGUUGGUCGACGCUUCCACACGCGCCGCUAAGCCUGCCCUGCCGCCCCCUAUGCGAUGCUGCUCCUCCCCUUUCUUCUCCGCCUAGGCUGGCGCUUGGAGGAGGAUGCCACCAAGGUUACCAACUACUUAAUGUACGCGUGCAAGAUGCUCGAUGAUACACCCCAACGGAAAGCAGUGUCGUGGACGAUGGUAGUCGUGGGGAACAUUGUAGACUCCACGCCGGUUGAGGAGGAAAAACUCCAUUGGCUCUUUUGUCACCUUAAGGGAUUUGCCUAACGUUUCCUUUUUUUUCUUUUAAAUAUGAUUUCCCCCAUACGUAUGCAGAUGCAGUUGCCAUAUUUUAAUGCUCAAUGCUGCCUACUUUAAUUUUAUGCUUAAUUUUUUUUAAUGCUCAAUGCUGCCUACUUUCCUUCACUGAUUUGGCUGCUCUUUUAUUUAGCUUAUAGCAACGGAAAAAAGUUAGCACAUUCCAAAAACUUCAAAGACUGCUGUGUACGACAUCCUAUAUUACCGGUAUGAGUACUUUUGAGAGCUUAAAUGUUGUUAGUCUUCUGUUUGCUAUUACGUGCUUUUGCUUUCCUGAAAAACUUCACACAGUUUCAGCUACGAAUUGACCAAUGACGAAAACAAGAUAUAUGAAGUGGCACAAUACUCAGUUUUACUUCUAAAAAUUGAAGAGAUUUAAAGAAGGAUUAUUCCAACAAUAAAUAUCUAUACUUUUGUUAGCAUACAUUUUCUUUUCUCAUGGCAUAUAUUUUCUUAAGGGCUAGUUUGAAAAUUUUAAAUCCUCUCCGGGAUUCCCGGAUAUUGAGAAGAAAAUGAGCUAAUUUCCCACUCAAUCCCUGAGAAUACCGGAGGAGAUUUUUAAGUUUCCAAAUUAGCCCUAAGUGUAGUAACUGAUUUUCACUUAAUUUUGCAGACUGCUUCUGUUUGAAUUGAACGGCAUCUUCAGAAUCUCGGCGACGCUAAUUUCUAACUCAUAUGGGAGAGGUCUAUUUCUAGAAUUUUUGUUUUUCUUUAAUAGAUUUGCCACCUACAUUGGCAUUUUUUCCCACUGCAAUCGAUUAUAAACUACAGUUUUGCAACCUUUCAGUGACAUGAACAUCUAACCAUAUUCAAGUUUGCCCUCAUCUCAAUAUCCAGAUAUCUCCACCUCAUCGACUCAAUAGUUAACCAUAUUCAAGUUUGCCCCUUUGAAACCAUCUGCUUGGAUUUUAUCGAUUCCAUUACCUAAAAAUAUGGUACAAUUUCAGUACGCCAGUACAUAUUAUGCAAAUGAAACACAAUUAAAAUCAGCAUUGUGAACUUUAUUGUUUGCCCAUUUUUUUGAUAAAUUACCCAUUUUAUGAUUCUACUGGGCCCUUUUCGCCUUUGCCCUACAAUUAUUCCUCCUCUUCGCUCUUUUGUUUCAUUGUUUGUUCUGCUUUGCACUUCUAUUCAUUGCAUUCUUCGUCGGUGAUUGUGCUCGUCCAGUUCGUCGGCCAUGUGUUCUAUCAUUUUCGUCAGAAAUCCUUUCUUAAGCCCUCCACUUUUCUCCUUUUUUGUUACCUUCGCACUUCGUUUUUAUUGUUCAUGUUCUCUGUCGUCGAGAUCUACUGUCUCAGGUUUAUUCUGGCUUUCAUAGUAAAUAAAUUGCUCUUCUUCCCCUCAUUUCUUGCUGGACGCAUAUUAUGCUUUUCCACUUUGCGACAACACUGUUUCCCUUAUUUGUGUUCGAGUAAAGUUCAGACUUUAUCCUCAGAGGUAAUUGUUACUUGCCUUAGCUUGCACUCUAUACACAUAAAGCGCUACUGUGCUGUUGCAUCAACUGUUUCGUUCCAUAGUUUUUGUUUUAUCCCACUUGGUUUAUGUCUUAUGUGCGCAUCAAACACUUCAAGCUAACAAUUACGCUUUCUAGUUUUGUAGACAUUAAAACAAAUGUUUCACUCCAAUGUAGGCCAAACAUAUUUAAGCGGUAUCGCAACAUGUGCAUGGUACUUUAAUGCAGACAUUUCUAAGGCACAUAUGUAGUAUAACAUGUACGGGAAAAUAGAUAAACAAAACACUAUCCAUUCUUGUAAUUACAUUUCCCCUUAAACCUGUUCUCCUUACAUGUCAUGUUGACAAUCAUCUACAUUAUCUAGCUGUCUGGUAGUAGCAUUUUUGUAAAACUAACAUACAAAUCUAGCAUUAACUUUUGCCCCAAAUUUCUAAAAUCUAUUAUGAACUACAAACAAGUUCCAAGUAUUCCUUUUCACAUGAAUAUGAGCACACUUUUUAAGCCAUCCAAUAACAUUUAAUCAACAUGUAUCGUCUACAUUAUCUAGCUGUCUGGUAGAAGCAUUUUUGUAAAAUUAACAUACCAAUCUAGCAUUAACUUUUUUCCCCAAAUUUCUGAAACAUAUUAUGAACUACAAAUAAGUUCCAAGUAUUCCUUUGCACAUGAAUAUGAGCACCCUUUUUUAAGCCAUCCAAUAACAUUUAAGCAACAUGUAUGCUUAAAUUCCACAAUACUGACCAAUUACACAAAUGUUUGCUACUAUUUCAAUUUUUGUUGUCACAUCAUUUAAAGGUUACAAAAUAUUGAACUUUAGUUGCUACGACCUACAAUACUUGAAGAAGAGAUCCAGGUUUCCCAGACACCUACUUUCGAGGACAAAACCAUCAAUGAAUUGGUUGAAAUUGAUCCAGAUAUAUUCCAUGUAAUCACUUUAACUUCCUAUUUUGUUGAACUCAUUCAUUACAUCAACUACAACUCCAUCUUAUUUAUAGUAAACUUUUUUCGCGAAAUGCAGCCACAAGGUUAUAGAUGUACUAAUCGCUAUAUCACGCCUCACACAGGAAGGUAGAUGGUGGUUCCCAUCUUGCACUAAAUGCAACAAGUCUUCAAUUCAGACCUCUACUAAAUAUCGCUGCAUACGUGUGAUUGGACAGAAACUAAAUUUAGGUAACCUUUCACACAAACAAUUACUUUGUCGUUAUUCGUCUGAGAUAAAACACUUCCUCUUACUUAUCAAAUCACUGCCACACAACAUUAACAGUUCAUAAUUCAAAGAUACAAACUCGGCUUCAUUGCUACUGAUGGAACAUUCGAAGCAGAAUUCUUUUGUUUUGACAAUAUAGCUAAACAAAUAGUAGAAAAACCUUGUGAAACCCUUGUUAGUAUCCUUCUCUAGAUUUAGUUGCCAUUGUCUCUCUCAGAUUCACCUUUGCAGAUACCAUUAAUAUGUUCGCGUUCUCCGUCACAAAUCGAGUCUUUUUUGUUCUCUCCGUGUUAACAAAUCAUGGAAGGAAAAGGUCAGCACCAUGUACCAUACAAAACUAUCAACAACAAGAAUUAGUGACACAAGAUGACAUAUUAGCCUCACAACCACAUAAAACUCUCCAACAACAUCGUUUGCAAAGCUAUCCACUUUUGGUGACCAUAAAAAUGUGGUGAGAAUUUUUUAGUGCAAACUACAACUAUUUCACAUGAACUUAUAUAUGUGCAUAGACUAAUGAAAUCUAUUUGACAGGCAUGUCACAGCCUUGCAUAUUCUAAUGCACUACAUGAUAUAGAGGUAAGUUUUUCUACCAUCACGUUUAGGCUCCAUAUGUACCCAAAAAUGACAUAAUUGUCUACCUCAAUUAUUUUGUGAUGGGAGAGAGUAUAUCUAUUCAUAAUUUGAAGACAGUGAUUUUUUUCCAUACAUAUCUAUGCAGGCAUAAAAUUACACACAAAAGAAAAAGAAUACUAUCUAUGCAAGAUGGACUCGAAAAUCCUUUCAACAUGUGGAUCAAUCUAAUUAUUUUAGAUUUUUUCUAAAUUUGCCUUUCAAUGGCUGAAGUCCCAUUUUGAUGCAAAUGAAAAAGCGAACAUCCUGUAGACUGCUGUUGCUGUGCAUCUCAACUGUUUUGGUCUUCCAAUCUUUUUGGAAGUAUUAUUAUUUUUACUUUCACUUACUCUUAUAAUUGCAUCAUGUUACACGAUGUUGACGUCAAUAUGGAUAUACACCCAAACAAUCUAAAUUCAAGGUCUUGUCAAAGCAAACUAAGGUUCUUUUUUUAAUACAAAGUCGUAUGGAUUCUGUUAGAUCUUGUAUUUUUUCCUACUAAUGUCAAUAUCAACCCGCAAGCGUCUCUUAAGUCACUCUUUUUAGGAUCAUUAUUUCACAUACUUUAAACCACAUAUGAAAUUUUGUUAGGCACACUAUUUGACAAUUCUUAUCCACUUACAGAAUGUUGACUAGCUUUCAGAACACCUUAACAAAAAAGAUCUUUUCUAAAUUUGCCUUUCAAUGGCCAAAAUCCCAUUUUUAUGCAAAUGAGAAAUGAACAGCCUACAAACUAUUUUUGUUGUGCAUCUCCACUGUUUUGGGCUUCCAAUCUUUUCUUGAGUAUUUUUUUACUUUCAAUUACCCCCUCUUAUAGUUUCAUCAUUAAAAAGUAUUGUUUUUUACUUUCAAUUACUCCCUCUUAUAAUUUCAUCGUGUUACACAAUGUUGAUGUCGAUAUAGAUAUACACCCAGACCAUCUAAAUGCGAGUUCUUAUCAAAGCAAACUUAGGUUCCUUUUUUUGAUACAAAGUCGUCUGGUUUCUCUUAAACCUAUCUAGUAUUUUGUUUCCUACUAAUGUCAAUACCGACCUGCAAGCCUCUCCUACCUCACUCUUUUCGGGAUCACUAUUUCACAUACUUUAAACCACAUAUGAAAUUAUGUUAUACAUUAGGCACACUAUUUGACGAUUCUUAUCCACUUACUUACAGGAUGUUGACUAGCUUUCAGACCACCUUGACAAAAAAAUCUGGCAUCCCCACCUAAGAAGUAUGUUUAAAAAAAAGAGGAGAGCAAAUGCAACCCGAGCAACAAGUUGCUUCCUUUUUUACACUAUGUACCAUAGUCCUUUCUAAGUUCUAACAUUGCAGAACACAUACAUGAUCAAAACUAGCAGGCUUCAAAAACAUCAAAAAGAUUUUACAGGCCCUGAAAGCGAUGUCCGGUAGAUCAACGUCAUUCUCAUCAAGGCGCGACAUAAUUUUACACCUCUUCUCUACACACAACUUCUAAUCAAUAUAAUUUGUGCAUUGUUCUUCACUCUCCUUUAUAACCUUUGCGCAAAAAUAGAAUAGCUCACAAACUCUUCAACGACAACUGAUCUGUCCUUUUUUCUGUACAGAUAAUUGCUUUGCGUAUCUACAACGACCAUCACUACUUUUGAAGCGCAAACGCUUUUAUGUACAUAUAACCAAACCGAUGAAACUUCUCUAGCUUAGUAUUUGUUUAUGCGAUCCUCAGCUCUGCUUUCUGUACCUAUGACGAUCAUCGUCACUUUUGCAAAGCAAAUGCUUUUGUGUACAUAUUACCAAGUUGAUGAAACCUUGCCAGUUUAGCGUCUGUUUAUUAUGAUCUUUAGCUCUUGGAACACACUGCUGAAAUACAAUGUAAUAUGUAUAGUCCUCUCAGUCUACUCUAGACUUGCUGUAACCGCUAUAAUUAUUAUCUUAGUACAACAAUUUAUGUAAGCACUGGGACCAGUUUAAAUUUGCUCUUAAACUGAUGACAGCAUGUGCUAUAUAACAAGUUCUGAGUGUACAUUAUCCCAAUGAAAUUGUGUCAUUAUCCUAACAAAAUUGAUCAUAAAAAUAGUUCAUAUUGCUGCAGGUACGCGCGCAUGGGCGCGCACGAUACACUAGUUGAUUAUACUUAAAAAUGUACAUCCCAAAUGUCGCUUAGUCCAAACCGUGUAUAUUUCACCCAAACCAACUCGAGUUUGUAUGUGUAUUUGCCUACUCGAGUUUGUAUGUGUAUUUGCCUUCGUAUUUUCGAGAAUGAAAUAAAAUUAAGUGGGAAAAUCCCAUUUUUCUUUAUCCUCCACCGCCGUAUUUUCUUUUUGCUCCCCGAAGCUGCAACCAUCGUUUCCUCCUCUCCUGAAGCACGACAGCCAGUCCAGCCACCAUUUGGGUGCUCAUCUCCCUCUGCUCGGCACCUAGCCCCAGCUCGCCCGAGCUCCCUGCGCCGACCUCAUCUUCCCCAUGGCGCGUCACCUUCUAGUCCUCUCCUUCCCACGGCACAGCAGCGCCCCUGCAGCUCCCCUUCUCCAGAUCCAUGGCACCCAACACCUUGAGCGCCCCUGCCGCUGCUCCUCCACCGGGAUCUCCUCCUCCACUAGGCGUCCAGGCUUGUCCCACCGUGGCUGCCCCUCCUCCAUCUCCUCCCUCCCCACCAGGUUACCCAGAUUCCAUGGCCGCCGCCGCCCCAGCCAUCUCCCUGGUGGCCGACCUCGCCCCUGCCCCAGCCACAGCUCCCCCUUCGGCCCUGCUGCUGCAAGCACUCAGCCUCUCCCAUGGCACACGGUACUCGUCCAGCCCCUUUCUACUGGUGGCUGAGCCAUCUCUCUGGUGCUCGAUGAAAUGACCAUGAGGAGUUUUGUGUUGUGUGCAGCCCCAUCUGCAACACCGUCGACCCCCGACGAGGUCCUUUCUCGCCUUGUCGUUUUAGUACUCGGCGUCGAUUAAGUAGAUGCUAACCGUGUGUAUAUUCGUGUGUUCUUGUGAGGAGAAAUCCCAUGAUUUGGGGGAAGACGAAGUCCAAGCACAACCCCCGCCAAUCGCUCGAUGAAAAAUCUAAACCAAAACCCUCAGCGUUUUCAAGGGUUCCGGAGGGAUUUUAUGUUGGUAAGGUAAUUUGUGUCCUAAUUAGUUCACUCAGUUAUUGAGUUGAAGAGAUUGUUAGUUGUAUGUGUCGAUGAUGCUAUUUUGAUUAGCAGGUGUUGUGCGGUGUGAUCUCCAAUUCCCUAUUGCUGUUUUCUUACUCCAUCAUGACCUUAGGGAAGGAUGUUUUCCUCUAAAUUACUCGUAAUAAUUAUGCUUGGUGUAUGUGUUGUUUUAGCUACUUGAUGAAAUGUUUUAGUUGUGUGCGAUAAUAUGGUUGCCGUUCGAGUGGAAAGUAGAUGUGUUGUAUGACCUGAGUUGGAGUUGAGGCAAGUAUGUGUGUCUCGUAUUACGAAACUAAUUAGAGAUAUGCAUGAUGUUUGUAGAUGGAUUAUGUGUAGAGUGUUUUAGUACAAGUAUUUUUUUUAGGUAUAGUUGAACCAGUUAUUGUAUAUGAAUUGUGCGAUAUCAAGGUAGUUCUAAUGUUCUUUUAACAUCUUGCUAAUAAGGUGUUAGAGUAUUCUAAAUGCCAAACAUAGGAUAAUUUUACAAGCCAAAUAGAAGUUAAAUUGAAGGUAUUGCUGUUUAGGGCUGUAGGUAUAGUUUUAGUUAUGCAGCUAGUCCAAUAAAGUAGAUCAUGUUUUCUGUAGAAGCGUUAUAUAUAAAACUUGUAGAUAAUCUUUUUAUCUUACUUGUGUAAAAAUUUCAUGACCAUAGGUGUAGUAGUUUAGGAGUUAUGAUUUUUCCAAGUCCAGUCUCAGAAUCUGUCCAAAUUCUGUACAGGUUUCGAAAAUUGGAUUGCUUGGCUAAGCUAAACUGAGAAUCAGCCCUUAGUAAUUAUAGAAGAAUUUUAGUACUUUUCUUAAGCUUUCCAACAAAUUUUGGAGCACCCUUUUUGGUGGUCUAGAUAUCAAGUUACAGCUGUUUGAACUAUAGAGUCUGAAUUUGUCCAAAUUUGGACAGCGAAGUCUGUUUGUAGUAACUGACUUUGAUAUGUAUUGAAUUAACCUGAGAUGUUUAUAAAUGAAUUGUAGACAAUUCUAUUAACUUUCUAAAAAGUCUAGGAUCACCUGAUUUGGAUUUCGGAAACUCCAGUUCUGGACUUUUGAAGUAAGUAGUCGAAUUCUGUCCAAAUCUGGACAUAAUUUAUGUUUAGCGCUGUUUGACCUUUGUAAAGGUCGAAUUUUGUUGUGAUGGUAAUACAAAAGUUAUAGAGGACUUUAUAAGCUUUCCAAAAAGUUCUAGUUUACUAUUAUUGGAUACAUAUUUUAUGAAUUGUGAGCUAAACAGAUAGUUGCUGACUUGCUGUUCUGCUGUCCAAACACAUGUCUACUGUCUGAAAAUAGCUCAUUUUGUAGUUACAUUUGCAUUAGGCUUUGAUGAUUGCUGUACAAGGAUGAUAUGGCCUCCCGCCCAAAGCUGUCUGGUAUUCAGAAGCAGGUUUUGGCGCUGUAUAGGGGAUUCCUUCGGACAGCACGCCUUAAGGCCCCUGAAGAACGCCGCAGGAUCGAGUCUGUUAUCUUGGCAGAGUUCCGUGACAACGCAAGGAGUGUUGACCUUAGGAACUUUGUACACAUAGAGUACUUGUUGAGGAGAGGGAAGAAGCAUCUUGAGCAGCUCAAGAAUCCUGAUAUUACUGGACUCGCUACCCUUGUAGUAAAGAAAUGAGGUACGUAGUUUUCAAAAACACUUAUUUGACUGUGCAUGGUCUUCGAAACAAGUUUUAGUUUUUAAGUUUGACCAAAUCUUGUCAUAAACAUCAAGUUUUUUUUUUAAACAACGGAAGUCGAUUAGUAUUUAAAAUCAGCAAGUAUCAUCCAUUAGUAUUUUAGGUCUUUAGAUUUAAAAAUUGUGGACUUGUCAAAACUCUAUGUUAUUUGAUAAGGCUCUACUUGUUAAAUUAAGUGGUGUGGUGCUUGAUUUAGUCGAUGUGCUAUGCCCGAUAAUCUAGAUUAGUAACUCUAAAAUCUAGUUAAAGUAUUUCUAUUCGUCACUUUAAGUUAUAGGUAUCCAUGGUUGUUGUGUCUAAGUAUCCGAUUUCUGAGCUCUGCCCCUGCUGUUUAGGAUAGCAUAUGGAGUUCUUUAUGUUCCACAAGCACAAUUGAUCUUAUGGAAUGGAAAUAGUAGAACAUUACCUGGUGAGAGCACACAAAUACCUUAUACAAAGCAGGUAUUGAGUCAAAUUGUUGUGUACCCAUUUGUGGUCUGGAUACACUGGUUUGGUGAAAAUGAAAUAUGCCCAAAGCAACAAAACCCAGUUCACAUGAACUGCUAUCCUGUAUUUACGAAUCUUGACUAGUCUAGUAAUAUAUGUAUGUGGAAAUAUGAAGGUUUCUUUAUUUCUCUUCUUAAACAGCAAGAGAAGAAGGAAGACUAGUCAGACAAAAUAGAAGACGAGAAGAACUGAUGUAGCCAUGUUCAUGCUUCCAUGUAAUAGUUCAUUAUUCCAUACAUAUUUCUGUCUAUCCAGAAUCUACUAUUGAAAUACAUAUCUAGCAUAGCUUGCUCAGCUCCUAUAUGUUGUUUCAACGUUGAUUUAAAAGAAGAGCUGGUAGUUGUGGGCUUUUGAACAAUAGCUGGAGUGAUAUGAAAUAUUAGUGAUGUAGUUGUGGGCUUUUAAACUGCUUCAAGCUGGAGUGAUGUCGCUGUGGUGCUUUUGUGACUGAUCAUCUCUAGAGCUUUUGUGAAUGAUCUAGCUAGCUAUCUGUAAAUGAUCUAGUUGUGAAUGAUAUUAUAAUUGUGAUGCUUUUGUGAAUAUAUAAUUGUGGUGCUUUUGUGUUUAUGUGAUGGAUCUAUGACUGUGGUAUACUGAUUAACUGUGUAUGUCUUUAUGAUUUGUGUAUAAAAAUCUGUGAUUUGUGGUGCUUAAUUAAAUGUAUAUUUUUAUUAAUAACAACUGUAAAAGGGCGACUUUUUGUUGGUUGCUAAAUGUAUAGUAUGACGACUUACAGUUGGUUGCUAAAUCUAUACUACAGCAACCCACGGUUGGUCGCUAAAUAUACAAUAUUAGCAAUAGACGUCGGUCGCUAAAAAGAUGUCGGUCGCUAAAGCCUUUAGCGACGGCACUUACAGCGACCAUCCUUAUGGGUCGCUAAAAGUUUUUAGCGACCAACCGUAGGUCGCUGAAGGCCGUUUUAGCAACCAACCGUAGGUCGCUGUAAGUGAACCGUCGUGUAGUGGCUCUAGAGUGUACCUUUUUCUUCUUGCCGUCCUUAGCCAUGAGACACUUGUGGCCGAUGUUGGGGAAGAGGAGGCCCUUGUUGACGGCAAUGUUGGCGGCGUCCUCGUUGGAGGAGGAGUCGGUGGAGCUCUCGUCGGAGUCCUAUUCCCGACAUAUGUGUGCAUCGCUGCCCUUCUUCUUGUAGUAUCUCUUCUUCUCCUUCUUCUUCCCCUUCUUGUCUUCGUCCCUGUCACUUUCACUAGAAAUUGGACAUUUAGCUAUGAAAUGAUCGGACUUACCACAACGGUAACACACCCUCUUGCAGCGGGACUUGUAGUCUUUCCCCCCUCCUUUGUUUGAGGAUUUGACGGAAGCUCUUGAUGAUGAGUACCAUCUCCUCAUUGUCGAGCUUGGAGGCGCCGAUUGAAAGUCUACUUGGUGUAGACUCCUCCUUCUUUUCUUCUGUCGCUUUGAAUGCGACGGGUUGCACCUCGGGUGUAGAGGUGGCACCUUGCUCCAAGUUGACAAUGUGUUUGGAGUCUUUGAUCAUUAGUUCAAAACUCACAAACUUGCCAAUAACCUCCUCGGGAGACAUUAGUUUAUAUCUAGGAUCCCCACGUAUUAAUUGAACUUGAGUAGGAUUGUGAAAUACGAGGGAUAUAAGAAUAACCUUGACCAUCUCAUGGUCAUCACAUUUGGUGCUCCCGAGGUUGCACACUUGGUUCACCAUGGUCUUGAGCCGAUUGUACAUCGCUUGCGGCUCUUCUCCUUUGUUGAGGACGAAUCGACCGAGUUCUCCUUCGAUCAUCUCGCGCUUGGUGAUCUUGGUCACCUCGCCCCCUUCAUGCGCGGUUUUGAGGAUGUCCCAAAUUUCUUUGGCACUCUUUAACCCUUGCACCUUAUUAUACUCCUCUCGACACAAGGAGGCGAUGAGUAUAGACGUGGCUUGGGAGUUAAAGUGCCUAAUUUGGGCGGCCUCGUCCGAGUCGUAGUACUUGUCCCCCACCUUUGGUACAUGCGCUCCAAACUCAACAAUAUCCCAAAUGCUUUCAUGGAGUGAGGUUAGAUGGUGCCUCACUUUAUUACUCCACAUACAAUAAUCUUCACCAUCAAAAUAUGAUGGUUUGCCUAGGGGUACAUAAAGUAAUGGAGCACGCUUUGAAAUACGAGGAUAACAUAGGGGCAUCUUUCUAUACUUCUUGCGCUCAUGGUGCUUAGAAGUAAUGGACAAUUCGGAGCUUGAUGUGGAGGGUGACGAAGAGUCGGUCUCGUAGUAGACCACCUUCUUCAUCAUCUUCUUCUUGUCACCUCUCCGAUGCGACUUGAUGGAGGAAGAGGAUUCCUCCUUGUGUUUGUUGCCGGACUCCCUUGAGAGAGUCCUCCCCAAGCUUGCGGCCUUUUUCGCUGGUCAUGAUCUCCCUCUUGGCGUGAUCUUCAGACAUCACUUCGAGUUGGUUAGACUCUUAAUGAAGCACUGGCUCCGAUACCAAUUGAAAAGUCGCCUAGAGGGGGGUUGAAUAGGCGAAACCUGAAAUUUAUAAACUUAAACACACACUAAGGUCGGGGGUUAGCGUUAGAAUUAAAUUCAAGUCCAAAAGAAUAUCUCUCUUGCUAGGAGUUGCUCAAGGAUUGCGGAUGACGUAUGGGAGCCAACUCAAAUUCACACUAGCAAGGAAAUGUUAGAGAGACGAAAACAAAUCAAACAAGAAUCAAGGCGAGUGAACACGAUGAUUUGUUUUACCGAGGUUCGGUUCCAAAGAACCUAGUCCCCAUUGAGGAGGUCACAAAGACCGGGUCUAUUUCAACCCUUUCCCUCUCUCAAACGGUCACUUAGACCGAGUGAGCCUUUUCCUUAAUCUCUCAGGUCACUUAAACCCCGCAAGGACCACCACACACUUUGGUGUCUCUUGCUUCGAUUACAAGUCACUUAAGAAAUAGACGGGAAAAGAAAAAUGCCAAACCAAGCAACAAGAGCAACAAAGAACACAUGAUAUCCUCUCACAAGCCCUAAUGCACUAGAAUUGAUUUUGGGGCUUUGAGUGGAUUGAUUGCUUUGAUUGUGUCUUGGAGUGUUGGGCUUUGCUCUUGCAAUGAAUGAGAGUUCAGAAAUGCUUGGAUGGUUAUGAAUGAGGUGGUUGGGGGGGGUAUUUAUAGCCCCCAACCACUUCCAUAGCUGUUGGUGAAGGCUGCUGGCGAUGGGCGCACCGGACAGUCCGGUGCGCCACCGGACAACCAUUGUGCAUUAUCCGGUGCGUGCCACGUCAGUGCAACCGUUAGGGUUCGAAGCUGGUCGACCGUUGGAGUCUUUGUUGUCUUGCUGCACCGGACAGUCCAGUGCCACAUCGGACAGUCUGGUGCUCUCUGACUUCUGCGCUCUGACUUCUGACAUCCACUGUUCAUCGCGACAGAGUCGACCGUUGGCGCAGAGAGUCAUUGCUCCGCUGGUACACCGGACAGUCCGGUGAAUUAUAGCGGAGCGCGCCCUGGAAUUCCUGAGAGUGGCUGGUUCAUCUGCUGUAUGGCCUGGUGCACCGGACACUGUCCGGUGCGCCAUUUUUCAGCACACUCAAGUCCUUUUGCUCCAAUAAAUUGUGUCCCUAACUUAAUUUCUUUCUUGGUUUGUGUUGAACCUUAUGCACCUGUAAUACAUGAAUUCUUGACAAACUAGUUAGUCCAUGUGUUUGUGUUGUUCGUCAACCACCAAAAUUAAUUAUAGGAAAUGGUUAACCCUAUUUCCCUUUCACAACUCAACUGUCAGAUGAGUACUCCAUUACAGCACUUACGUACACGAGUUCUAUGAGAGCAGACCUCCAAAAUGAAUAUCUGCUAAGUGUUUAUCUACUUAGAUGAAGGACGACAAUCACUUUCUUGGGAAAUAUUAGCGACACAACUCCUUACAUCCUCCGCUUCUUCCUAGUGUUUUUUGUUGUGAUUGAGUCGACACAGCAACAACACUGCACUAUUACAACCAGUACGACUAUAUCAACUAGCAAUGUCUUCCUUAUAUGUUACUAUUUAUUUUGCUAAUAUUCAUUAUGUUUAAAUCACAUGUGCACCUUUCUAUUGACAUCAAAAAAUUAGUGGGGAUCGAGUGAUUCUUUAAACCGAUUAUUACACAAGUUAACCACACUAAAAUUAACAUUGGUGAAUCGUGCCAUGAUUUUUUUCUAGUGCAAAAUAGCCAAACCAAGCAAAACAUAUGUGGCUAUCGUUACACAUGUGUAAAGGUAUUGCAUCACACCAUUGUCACCCAUGUAUUUGGACAAUACCGAGAGGAAAAACCACUUAUUUAUUGUAUUUUAUCAAGUUUAUCUUGCUUACGUAUAAAUUAUAACCCAACAAAGUAAUCACUAAAUGUCAAAACCAACUAGAUACCAUGUCAUCUCUACCUUAUCUUACUAAUAUUCUUUUUGCAAAAUCGAAAAUUAAUCUUGCACAAGCACAAGGACUGAGAUGUGUAUAAAUAUCUCUUAGAUUAGUAGAUAAUAUAUCGCACAUAUUAUUGAGACCAACUAGCAACAUAGAAAGCACAAUAUUGUACCAAUAAUGGCAGCCAAAAUAUUUUGCCUCAUUAUGCUCCUUGGUCUUUCUGCAAGUGCUGCUACGGCGAGCAUUUUCCCGCAAUGCUCACAAGCUCCUAUAGCUUCCCUUCUUCCCCCAUACCUCUCACCAGCGAUGUCUUCAGUAUGUGAAAAUCCAAUUCUUCUACCCUACAGGAUCCAACAGGCAAUCGCAGCAGGCAUCUUACCUUUAUCACCCUUGUUCCUCCAACAAUCAUCAGCCCUAUUACAGCAGUUACCUUUGGUGCAUUUAUUGGCACAAAACAUCAGGGCACAACAACUACAACAACUCGUGCUAGCAAACCUUGCUGCCUACUCUCAGCAACAGCAGUUACCUUUGGUGCAUUUGUUGGCACAAAACAUCAGGGCACAACAACUACAACAACUCGUGCUAGCAAACCUUGCUGCCUACUCUCAGCAACAACAGUUUCUGCCAUUCAACCAACUAGCUGCAUUGAACUCUGCUGCUUAUUUGCAGCAACAACAACUACUACCAUUCAGCCAGCUAGCUGCUGCCUACCCCCGGCAAUUUCUUCCAUUCAACCAACUGGCAGCAUUGAACUCUCAUGCUUAUGUACAACAACAACAACUACUACCAUUCAGCCAGCUAGCUGCUGUGAGCCCUGCUGCCUUCUUGACACAGCAACAUUUGUUGCCGUUCUACCUGCACACUGCGCCUAACGUUGGCACCCUCUUACAACUGCAACAAUUGCUGCCAUUCGACCAACUUGCUUUGACAAACCCAGCAGUGUUCUACCAACAACCCAUCAUUGGUGGUGCCCUCUUUUAGAUUGCUUAUGAGUUAUAGUUCAAUAAUAAAGUUUUUUUUGCUGAUAUUUGUGGCUUCCCAGAAAUAAGAAAGUACAUUUCUAGAUUCUUAUGUGCUUCUAGUCUCCAAAUGUGGUUGAUAGUUAUUUUGCUCUAAGAUCGGCAGUAAUGAGGUAUAAAUACUUGUUGUCGUGUGCUACUCGGUUAAUUGAGCAUUAACACACAUAAACAUUACAAGGAUGGUAUAAUCUCCUAAAAUGUGUACAUUGUUAGGUGUAACCCUAUAGCCAUGCAGAAUGUGCUAUGUUAGGCAUGCCGAUGGAAACGUGUGACACAUACGUUUUGUUAACCUAUUGAUAUUAUAUGUGCCUUUUAUAUUACCAUAUUUUAUUAAAAUACUAAUAUUUAUUACUAGUAAGAUAUAACAUUCUAUCUAGCUUAAAAACUAACCAUAAAUAUUCCAUCAUAACUAGAUUUACCAAACUAAUAUACUAAAUAUACAUAAUAAAUACAAAAUUAACAAUACAAUAUCAAUAUUUAUGAGCUUAAUAAAUUUAAACAUUAUGGUUGGCCGACGAUAAUCAUACUGACUUUCCGUAAUUGCUUGAUUGUAAAUAUACUUAGACUAAUGCCUCUUUGUUCUACAUGGCAAAUAGGGACCACUCUAGGAGACUAGGAUGUUGCUUGAGACGAAGAUGUUAUCAUUGGUGUAGACUAAUUUCUAUCAGCCGCUGACUUCACUAUUGUAACCAUUAUCUCUUGGGUAAAUCAUAUACGAUUAUCUAGCCAAAGGCCCAGAUGAUAAAAACAAUUUUUAAUUGCUAUUUCAGGACAAAUGAAUUAGCAUGGUUCGAAGGAUUGCGACCUUCCCCCCAUGACUUUUAUCGUAUUGUGUUAGUCUAAUCGACAAAACCAAGAUUAGAUAUCAUCGAAGAAGUUGAUAAGCGAAUCUGUGACCACUAUCAGAAUCAGCUGCUUUGCCGAGUGUCUAAAACACUCGACAAAGCCUGAAAAACACUCGGCAAAGGAUUUGCCGAGUGUAACACUCAGCAAAGAAAGCUCGGCGAAGUAUACAUCGGCAACGACUUCUUUGCCGAGUACUUUUUAUCGGGCACUUGGCAAAGAAGCGUCAUUGUCACGACGAUAGGUAAUGCCGACGGAGUCUGUGACGAGUGUCACAGAGUGACGCUCAGCAAAGGCUCACUCUUUGCUGAGUGACCACUGUACAGACACUCGGCAAAGAAGCCCCCGUGGGUCCCUUUAUCAGGGCCUUUGCCGAGCGUAUUAGGUGGCACUCGGCAAAGGCUCCAUCUUUGGUGACUGCCCGCCAGACUAGCAAUCGACAAAGGGAUCAACAGCGGAUCCCUUUGUCAGUUCUUUUGUCGAGUGCUCUAGGAGGCACUCAAUAAAGCUUGUGUUGGGGGCCUUCUUCUUCCGAAGGUCCUCAAAAACGUGACUAACCAUAGGUUUUCAGUAUGACAUAGACUAUUAUAGGAAGCUUUGGCUUUGGGAUGAAGGCGUGUGAUAUGAGGAUACAGCCCAAAGGCAACAUGGAUGGACGUCGAAGCUAUGGCUAAAGGAGUUUCGGCUUGGCAUGUUAGCGAAGAUGAAGGACGAAACCGACCUAAGGGAGAAAAGACUAGUUAGUCCUUGAUAGUUUGCAUUAUGAUUAAGAGCAGAUAUCAGGGGCAUGCAUGUAAUCUUAUCCGGGCUGCGUCCCGUGCCUAUGAAUAGAUGAAUAGUAACACCGUACUGUUCACGCUGGAUUAUAAUCGCUCCUACGUCACUCUCGCGUCUUCACCUUUUGGUAAGCUGAAGGUAUCAAUGUAAUACAAAUAUUGAUGAUGUUUAUUCAUGUUUAUGAAAUGAGAAUAUAAAUAGCUUGCUGAUUCGUAAUCAUUAUUUAUAUUCUUUUGUAUUUCAUGUACCCUUAUUUAGAUGUGUUCACUGAGAUGAUGAAGGUAUGCCCUUCAUGACCUUCGUUCGGAAACCAUUAUAUCCAAAAGGAGAUAAUGCUUCGAAGGACGAAGGUCUCUAAUUAUUGACAAUCAUGUUGUCUUGUUCUUGAUGUAUAGCAUUUGGGAACAAGGACCAACAUUGGCGCCCACCUCCCGUGAACUCAAUCGACCACCUUCGGCAAGCAUCGACUUUCGUAAUGCCGCCGAAGAAGACAAUAGUGCCAGGGGCUGCCCUGCAGCCACUGGACACUAAUCAGGAAACGCUGCGAGAAGCUAGGAUCUAGAAGAGGAAGGCUACUAGCCCAACACCUCAGGAGGAGGAGCUAGAUCAGGAGAUCAGAGAUUUGGAGGCUAUCACCAGCAGGUACAAAGAAAAAGGGAAAAGAUGCUUCAGCUCGUCGAACUUCAGAGAAAGAUCGACAAAGCUGCUGAAGAAAUGCGUCACCUUACCCAGGAUGACCAAGACCGAAGGCCCCAACAUAGGGAGCUUCAUCAAGAAAGCCCAAUUAAUGACGAUGAGUGGUAUGGUGACUUUCAUCGUGGCAAUUUUGCUUUUGAUGAUGCUUCUCCCUUGGCAGCAGAAUUGCAGGCUACCCCGUGGCCGCCAUCAUACAAGCCACCUCAGCUCCCCAUGUAUGACGAGCACUCAGACCCGAAGCAACCAUAUCCUCAUAUGGGGGCAAUACUGCGGUCAUGGCAAAGUCCUUCGUCAUGGCAGUUAGAAGCGUGGCUCAAACAUGGUGCUCUUCUCUUCGGCCAGGGACAAUUACGUCGUGGCAAAAGCUAAAAUACAUACUGGUCACUAGCUUCUAGGGUUUCCAAUCGAAACCAGUUACUGUCCAAACUCUGUUCCAGUGCACACAGGACCAAGAAGAAUACCUCCAAGCGUAUGUCCGAAGGUUCCUGCGAUUGAGAGUUCAGGCGCCUACAGUGCCCAAUGAGAUUGUCAUUGAGGCCAUGAUCAAGGGGUUCAGACCAGGACCAACGGCGCAAUACUUUGCAAGGAAGCCACCACAAACCCUAGAGAAGCCGACGAUGAUUUUCGGCAAAGAAGGCAAGAAGCCUACAGAUACUCUGAGAUGGCCAGGGGCUUCGGAGGAAGAUUUCACCCUAGGCAUGUCAGGUCAAUCCAUAAUACCAGCUCAAGUGACGACAAGGGAAACCAUACCCAAAGGCAGCAACACAGCUCUCAGUCGUCAGGAGCACAACAAAGCUCUUUGAGGCCACCGGCUCCAAGAGGUAGAGGGGGGAGAAGCUUCGGAGGAAGAUAUGGAGAUCAGCCCAGUAAACAGUUUUGUUUGUUCUGCGGUGAAGAUAAGGGGCAUACCACAAGAACGUGCCAAGUUAUGAUUCAGAAGCAGAAAGAAAUUGCUGAAGCUGAAGCACGUUCGAAUCAGCCGAAGCAGGUUCUGCAUACUGCUUCGUGCUACUCUCCCUACGUCCCGGAGUAUGUAGACAAUCAACAGCCUACGACCUUGGUCGCUUCGGCAAGCCAUUCUCAAGCUUCCUGGGCCCAGUUGCCACCACCACCACCGCUAGCACAUGCUCUGGUCCGCAAUCAAUAGCCAGAAGGGCACCACCAUGCUUAGUAAUAGCGCGACCUUCGGGAGGAGUCCGAAGCUCGCACAGUCAACAACAUUGUGCCUAAGUCGAAGCACAUCUAUUAAAGGUGCCACGGUGAUUCAAUUAAAGAAUAUCUUACCCUAAUGUAUCUUAGUUUUUCCGCCAUUUUAUUUUCUUGCAUGAAAAACAAUUCACGAAGGAUUAAUUUCCAAUUUGAUGUAAUAAUACCGUGGUCGCACCAUCGAGUGUGGAGCGCAUCGCCUUAACAAUACUUCCGAAGCUACAAAGACGUUCCUAAGGGAGCGCGGAGUAAGUUCUGAAGCUACAAAGUUGUUCAUAAGGGAGCGCAGAGUAAGUUCCGAAGCUCAAAAGUCGUUCUUAAGUGAAUGCAGAGCCAAGAUGCCACCAAAAUAAAAGGUGAAGAAGCUCAAAAGUCAUUCCUAAGGGGAUGCAGAGCUUAAAUGCCACCGAAAUAGAAGGUGAAGAAGUUCCAAAGUCGUUCCUAAGGGGAUGCAGAGCUUAGCUCCAAAGAUGUUCCUAAGGGGAUGCAGAGCUGAAAUAUAACCUAAGUAAAAAGUGAAGAGACUCAAAAGUCGUUCCUAAGGGGAUGCAGAGUCUGGAUGCAUUUUCGAGUGGGUGUGUUUCUUCGGCAUAAACAUCAUGCUGUAUCAUAUCAUCACAUCAUUUCUCAUAGCAUUACAUCAUACAUCACAUCACAUCAGCAACAGAACUGUGGAGAAGCAAAGAUGCUUCUUUCAAAAUAUUUGAUGAAUGGAACAAUGGGCUGAAGCAGAAAGUGUACCUUCAACAGCUAUAAUUUUACAUACCAAGAAAAAUCUUCGUCGACAAACAAUAUUAUAUAACAGCUACGACAUAAGAAGGGGUGAUUUUUUAUUUGUGAAGCAUGAAAAGAAGGGAAGGUGUUUUUUCACCAAAGGCUAAAAAACAGGUAAGUACAUACAUUUCAUGCAUCACAAAGAAAUAUAUUACAUUAAUAUACAAACAAAUGUUCGAUGUUCGACUCAUACACGAAUAUUACAUUUCUUAGUACACAAGAAUUUAGUCUUCUUUCAAUAUUUUCUCGGUAGCUUCAUGUAGGAGUUUGUUGACAGCUUCAUCAACGGCUUCUUCGGCAAUCCUUAUCGUUUCUAAUGCCCCCCUCAUGGCCGGAUCGGCCUCGGGAUCAUAUGGCUCAGGCGGUGGUGAAAAAUCAGCUGUAAUAAAGAACAAGUUGUUAAUAUCAAAGCCAGAAACAAAUACUGAAGCUAAAAUUCAGUAAUAAUACCUAUACGCCUUGCGCGCUCAGCAACCUCUUGGCUCGCUUAGCUUAUUCUCGAGCAUCAUGGGAUUCUUUUUCAUUUGUCUUUAUAGCUUCAUCGGCUAUCUCACGGCCACCUUUCAUCCAAACAUUGGAAUAAAACUUCUCGCCCAUCAAAGUAGCUUCGGCCGAAGGCUCCUUCAUGUCGUCUAUGGAGAAGACGGCUUCCGCCUGGGCUGCAGUUUUAACAUGUUCACAGCCAGUUUUCUCCAAAACUGCUGCAACCCCUCGGGCACCGGCGAAGGCACAAAAAUCCUCGCGUUCGCUAAGUAUUUCCUCAAAAGCUUCAACUUCUUCGCAAAUCCAUUGAACGACUCCUUUUGGAUCGCCUCGAAUAAAUUUUUGCUCCGAUGAGUAUGCACCCACCUUUGCAAAACUGUCUUUCAGUUUCUUUGCAUAGUCCAUGGAUACUUCGUAGCAUUUCUCUCUGGAACCCCGAAGUUCUUCAACAUUCUUCUCAAGCCUGGAGCUUGUCCAUUCACUUAUAUCUUACUUUGCCUUAGCAAGUUCAAUAUUUUCGCUCAUUUCGGCAAGUUUUUUGUGAAGGUCUUCGACUUCGGCUUGGUGAGCUUCGGAUUGUGCAUUAAGUUUUGCUUCGUUGCUCUUCAGUUUAUCCACCAAGGAAAGCAGUAUUUUAUCUUUUUCAAGCGCCUCGUUCCUUAAUGUAAUAACUUAUGACCGAAGGUUCCCAAGGGCUAUUUGGCAGCUUUCAUCUUCUGCAUUCUUUUGUGCCCUUAAAGCCUUGCUUAGGAUUAAUGCCUACAAAAAAUGAAGGAUCAGCACACAACAAUAAGAAAAGAUACAAAAAGUAAUCUGCUUAUAAGCUAAAAUGUCCUCACCAUCAGACUGUUAUAAGCAAGGAUGUCUGCAAGGUCAUCUUUCGACAUUGCAGACAACCCAAGCUCUAGCUUCGGGAAACCUAUAUUUUUUGCCAUCUCCCGACAAACAAAUAUUUUCUUGUUGUCUGGAAGGCAAUACAAAAAAUCAUCUUCGUCAGUGCCAUUAAACAUGAGGGAUCCUGGGGGAUACUUCAGAUCCUUAGCAAAUUGCCUAGCUUCGGCAACCUGCUCCUCUGAUAGUUUUUCCCUACCGCGUGACACACUAUAAAUUCCGAUCCCUCAGUAGAAGCUUCAACGGCAAGGAAUUCAGAUUCUUUGCUGGUUCUCUCUUUUCCUAACGGUAACGGAGCUUUUUCAGCAUCCAAAGGUCCUUUUUCAGCAUCCUUUUCAAUAAGCUCUGCAGGCCCUAUUUCUGCGGGAACUGAGGGCCCAGCUUCAGCUUCAACCCAAGUUAUGAUAGCUUCGGCAGUUUCCUUUGUACUUUUCUUACCCAUGCUAGGUACUUCUGUAGAGGCAGGAGUUAGUACUUUUGUCGAUUCCAUGACAGCAUCCAGUACACUAGCCAUUCUCCUCCUUUUUGGAGUUAUCAAAGUAGUUUUUUGAAUCUUCGGCAAUUCUGCCUCUGGCCGUGAAAAAGUUUUUGGCUGCUCCGCUGCUAUCUUCAGAAUUGGCUCUUCGGCUGAUCCCAAUAUGGCUUCGGCAGUAGCGAGAUGAUUUUGCUCAGCUGCAGAAGAAGACCCUUCAACAGGCUUUGACACUUUGGCCGUCUCAGAGUGCCUGGGCCGGUGUGUCAAGACUUUGCCAUUUUUCCCUUCGGCGUGGCAGAGAUUGCCGAAGCAGUAGCCUUCCUUUUCUUUCCCUGCUUUCGCGAGGGAUAACAAUAGUCUGGGUACACAAAACCAAUUACAUCAAAAACCCUAUUUAAUCUCUUCUUGCCUCGUCCUCCGAAGGCCAAUGUCAUGGCAUCGUCUUCGGCCCUUGUGUAGGCCCCAAGCAAUUCGUCACUAGUAGCCUCAAUGCAAUCCAACCAGUCAUCGUUCGGCUCAUCGAACUGAUCUCUGUAUCUGAAGGUGUAUUUCAGAUAAACUAAACUAACUUGACUGGACCCGGCCGCAGCUUCCUUCGACAUCUCCCAGCCACUUCCAAGAGGCCACACUCUGUAAGCAAUAUGCUCCUAGACUAAGUCCCUAGUGCCAAUAUAAGUACAUAAAGUGUUAAAGUCCGUAUGGCAUGCUUGAAUAUCAUGUCCAUGGACAGUGGUUGGCCUCCUAAUGCCGAAGCGAGACCAGAUAGGGCAUUGAAUGAUCCCCUUUAUAUCUUCUCUUUCAACUAAGUUGUUCUUCACAUAAAACCACUCUUGCAUCCAGGCUCCUGGCCACCUCUUCCAAAAUGUUGGGACGGGAUAGCUCACACCAGAGCGAGGCAUGAAGCCGUAACAACGAAAAUUAUUAUGAUAUUGUUCUAUGCCAGUAGCCUUUGUCUCAUAGGACAGGUCAUGCAUGUUGCAGAAGCAUUUUGCAUUCGGCUCUAAACCCUGGCCCAAAUGAAAACUCCCAUUCUGAUGAUAUCUUCGGGGGUAAUUUGAUGAAGGUAAAUUUCAAAAGUCUUCAAAACUUCAACUAAAAAUUUGUUCAGGGAGAAUCGAAGCCCUGCUUUCAUAGAACUCCUGUAGACAACAACUUCGUCUGCUUCGGGCAUAGGGGCACUGCUAUCUCCUCUGGCCCUCAUGAUAGAAAUAUCGCGGAAGUAUCUUCCUUUCAUUGCAUCAAUCUGACUCUGUUUGAUGGUUGAUUUAGCAAAGAUGGUAUGACUCGGUCGCCAGGGCUGAUCUUCGACAUCUUCGUUUCCACUUUCUAAGUCAAAACUUUCACUAUCGCUGGAAUCUUCAGACAACCCAACCAACAUCUCAUUGGUGAUCUUCUUCAUAUUUGUCUUCUCCAUAGCUUCAUAAAACCCGGCCAAUGCAGGGUCAGCAAUCUUCUUCUCUUUAGCCAUUUAGACAACGAUUGCACGAUUGUCGAAGCUUAAAACUCAAUCAAAACUCGACAGAGCAAGAGAAUUCAGAAUGUCUAAAAUAGCGCAAGCAACUGAAAUAGCACAGCAAAUGCUGCCAAUGCGAGUUUCUAUUUAUAUGCCUCACGAUUUGGUGGGCCAUACAUGUCAGUGGCUUUCGCUAUUCUAGCGAAGGGAAGGUGUUUUUUCGGAUCUUCGGUUAAAGGCCUUCGUUCACGUCACAGUCUAAAUUUGUUACAAAGAAACAAAUUAAUACUACGAGGGGCUACUGUUGGGGGCCUUCCUUUUCCGAAGGUCCUCAAAAACGUGGCUAACCAUAUGUUUUCAGUAUGACAUAGACUAUUAUAGGAAGCUUCGGCUUUGGGAUGAAGGCGUGUGAUAUGAGGAUACAACCCGAAUGCAACAUGGAUGGACGUCGAAGCUAUGGCUAAAGGAGCUUCAGCUUGGCAUGUUAGCGAAGAUGAAGGACGAAACCGACCUAAGGGAGAAAAGACUACUUAGUCCUUGAUAGUUUGCAUUAUGAUUAAGAGUAGAUGUCAGGGGCAUGAAUGUAAUCUUAUCCGGGCUAUGUCCCGUGCCUAUAAAUAGAUGAGAAGUAACACCGUACUGUUCACGCUGGAUUGUAAUCGCUCCUACAUCACUCUCGCAUCUUCACCUUUUGGCAAGCCGAAGGUAUCAAUGUAAUACAAAUAUUGAUUAUGUUUAUUCAUGCUUAUGAAAUGAGAAUAUAAAUAGCUUGCUGAUUCAUAACCAUUAUUUAUAUUCUUUUGUAUUUCAUGUACCCUUAUUUAUAUGUGUUCACUGAGAUGAUGAAGGUAUGCCCUUCAUGACCUUCGUCCGGAAACCAUUAUAUCCAAAAGGAGAUAAUGCUUCGAAGGACGAAGGUCUCUAAUUAUUGACAAUCGUGUUGUCUUGUUCUUGAUGUAUAGCAUUUGGGAAUAAGGACCAAUAGCUUGCUUCUUUGCCGAGUGCCAAGGCCACAGCACUCGGCAAAGAGUCUUUACCGGUGCGCAGGUGUGCCUUCUUUGCCGAGUGCUAUGACAUUGACACUCGGCAAAGUAUCUCUUUGUCGAGUGUAACACUCGACAAAGUGACCAGAUUAUCCCUUUUUAUUUGUUUUUGCUAUUCCAUCCAAACAAAUAAAAGAUAUAUCGCAUAAUCAUCACAUAUACAUCAUAGAUAUCACAUAAUCAUCGCAUACAUAAUAGAGACUGCAUAUUUCACAAAAAACACAAAUCUCACAAGUUUUUCUCAAACAUGUCCAUGUUCAUACCAAGAUUCACUAACAUAAGUAUCACACAACUCUAAAACAUAAGUUUUUCACAAACAUAAGUUUAGGACAAGUUUAUCACACAAGCUAAGAGAAGAUCAUGAGCGAGGUGGGCGGCUGGACUGGUGCGGCGACGGGCUGGGCGAUCCACGAGGGUUGUUGGAUGCCGCCCUAGAUUGUCCCUGCACAGAGAAGAGAUUGCCUGUGUUAUACUAGAUAAAUAUACAUCAUGCAGGACUAGAAUUUUGAUACUCAUAGGAGUAUGGAACUGAGCAGGGUCAACUGGAGGGAACAACGGAGGUGGUGGAGCAAAACCCUGUGCGGUGCCAAGGCUCUGCAUGUACUGGAACAUCUCUGCCAUCCUCUGUUGAUUUUCCAUGUGGGCCUCCCGCUCCGCCAUCAUCCUCGCCUCCAUAUCCUACCGUUCCCUCCUCUCUUCUUCUAGCUAGGCAUAUAAUAUUUCAACCCAGUGUUAUAAUAACUCAAAGAGAAGGUAUAUAACUCAAGGAAAGACGAGUUACAGAAGCACUAACCUGGAGUUGUUGUAUCUCAUGAUGUGAGUUGUCCUGUCGAGGUCGUAUGGCUGGGCUUGAGCUCGUGGUCCUUGCUCGCACCUGAGACAGAGUGGGAGUGGACAACGAGUCGAUUGUCCCGUCGGCAAUCCAGUACCUCCCAUGCCUCUUGCCUCCUCUGACCCUCAUGAGAACAUCUCCGUCGAUUUCCUUGGUCCUCGGAUCGUAAUCUGGCCCAUGGACCUCAUGUGACAUGGCAGUGUACUCACUUAGGCGGUUGUAGACGGCGGAGUUGCUAUAUGCCUCGGGCCCGUCAUCCGGGUUGUAGGUGACAUCGGACGUCGCCUUUCCCUUGUGGGCCAUAGCAUAAACCGAGAAGAUGGAGCAUGGCUGGCCACCAUGUAACACCAAAUGCAAUAAAAUCAAUGAGAUAGUUAGAAAUAAUAUCUAAACCAGUGCUAUAUACCUAAAUAAAAAGAGGGCGUACCCAUGCUUCUACAUAUUUCCAGAGGUUGCGACUGCCUUGGUGGUGGGAGGGACCUUACAUCAUCAAAUGUCGUUCCAUGCUAGCGUUGUGCGCCUCGUCCCACUUAGGCGAGCACCACCUAUCCACCAUCUGCUCCUAGCACUGAGGAUGCGCGGCGCACCAAUAAGGAAUCAUCUACAAACUAAAACAAGUACAUUGCAUAUCAGAAGAUAAAAUUAAGCAAUUUUUUUCACGAAUAUUAAAGUGAUGUAUUUACCUGCAAGUAUUGGUCCCUAGUCAACGACAUGGUUCGGGCCUCUUGUUUGGUCACCUUCUCUCUAAGGACGGAGCCAUGGUAGAUGAUGAUGACCUAGAUUCGUGCAUCGUAGUGCAUGUCCACGACGAGCUUCUUACAGCUUGUGGUGGCCACCACAUUUGCCCUGGCCUCGUAUCCAGCCUCGCAUCUGAAGAAAUCCUACAUACAAAGGCGAUAUAUCCAUACAUUAUUUCAAGUAUGUGCAACAAAUGCGACAUAUUUUACAAUAUAGUAAGACUUACUCAUAGCUUUUGCUUCACCCGCUCUGCCAUGUUGUUAAAUUCCCUAUCGUCCUAGUCUACUGCAUCAGGGGUGACGACGUAGUGGUCGAAGGUGUAGGCAGUAGGUUGGGCCCACCACUCCAGCGUACUCAACCAGUCCAGGGAAGUGUUCCCUACACAUAAGGCCAAGGAUGCCAUUGGGUUGUGGUCGUGACUCCCUGCAUUCUCCACAACCUUUCAAGACCUGUCCAAGUGAUAAAUAAAAAGUAUUAGUUUAUAUUAUGAAUUUGAACACAUAAUAUGAACAAACAGUGAGAACAUAAAAUUACAUGUCUCUCCCCAUCCUUCUGAAUCAGCGACCGCCUAUCUCGAAGUAUGGGACGCUGAGGGAGACUCGUGGGACCUCGCUGGUAGACGUUCCUCGAAUCUGAAGCACCAGAACCUGAGGCGUCUUGCUGAGCGUCGUCGUCGUCCUACUGUGUCGCAUCGAUAACGACCUGCUGCUGGACGUCGUCAUCCUGUUGUGCCUUCUUCGCCUUCCUACGGGUGCUCCUCCUCCCCCUCCUUGUCCUCAUCCCACCGCCCACCAUAUUUGUCCAACAACCUGUAAUUAAGGGUAAGCAAAUAAGCACAUAUAAAAAAGUUUAUUUACAAAUAGGCGUGAAAUAAAAAAAAUAGCAUUACAUCGUUUAAAAAAAUCUUCAUAUGUGUCGGGGUUAGCCAGAUCAUAAGUGUCAUCAUCACAAUCAACCAUUUCAUAGUCAACACCAUCUGAAGGCGCAAGUUCUUCAUUAAUGUCAUUGCCUUCAAGUAAUUCUAAGUCAUUCUCAUUUUGCACCUCAUCAACAACCAUUUCAAUAUCUACUUCCAUUCCGAUAGCUUCGGUUAAGUCUAUCUCAAAUCACCCUUCUAGCCCAUAUUCUUGGAAGAACUCUCCAUCAUAUGUAUCCGGGUCUAAGUUAUAAUCUUCAUCAUUUGGAACAGGUAAUUUACCGUGCAGUGAUACCUUAUACACAACAUCCCAACCCAUCCAUGCCUCAUAUAGGAGAUGAAGAAUCAAAUGCUGCAUUGGAUUGAAGAAGUCGAGUGGAAAUAUCUUCUCAAGCUUACACAAAAACACGGGUGUCAAUCUUUCCAAGUCUGCAAUCACGGACCAAGAUAACUCUUUCACACAAAGCUGGCAGAAUAAAUAGCUGAACUUUGUAAGCGCUAGCCAUACAUGCUCAGGGACAUAGCCUCGAACCAUCGUCGGAAGAAUCUGUUCAAUCCAUAAGUGGAAGUCAUGACUCUUCAUCCCUAAGACUCACAGAGUAGAUAAGUUCACCCCCCUACUUAGGUUAGCUGCAUACCCAUCAGGAAACAUCAACAUCUUGAUCCACUAAAGUACUUCCUUCCUCUGGGCCCUACUUAGGACGAAAUCGGCCUUAGACCUUCUCCAUGUCUUUCCACCACUAGGCGGCUUCAUUUCUUGGUUUGGUCUAUCACAUAACGCUGUCAGAUCCACUCUUGUCUUUACAUUAUCCUUUGACUUAUCAGGAAUGUCCAUAAUUGUUGCCCAAAGUGCCUCGGCGACAUUCUUUUCAGUGUACAUCAAGUCAAUGUUGUGUGGAAGGAGUGGGUCAUCAUAAUAGGGGAGCCGAGUCAAGCCCGACUUAUGUGUCCACAUAUGCUGCUCACCAUAUCCCACAAAUACACCUUCUGGAUUGGCCACGAGCCCAUCUAUUUGUUGACGAAUUUCGGCACCAGUCAUCAUUGCAGGUGGUUGGUCUGUCACUACAACACCUUUCGUAAAGUUAUUGAUGUCUAGGCGGAAUGGAUGGUUAGGAGGGAGAAAUUGUUGAUGUUUAUCGAACAACGAAUAUUUGCCACCCUUUUUCAACCAAAUGAACUUAAGAGCUUCCUUACAAACUAGGCAUGGGAACUUACUGUGAACACAAUAGACACAGAAUAGCCCAUACGCCGGUAAGUCAUGCAUGGCGUACUAGUACCAAACAUGCAUUUUGAAGUUUUUCUUCGUAGCUCGGUUAUACGUCCAUACCCCUUCCUCCCAAGCAUGUACGAUUCAUCAAUCAAAGGCUCCAUGUACACGCCCAUUUUAUUCCCCGGGUGUCCGAGAAUUAUCAACGACACAAAUAUGUUCUGCCUUUAAAAGCAUACACCGGGGGGAGAUUGAUUGGGAUAACAAACACGGGCCAACAUGUGUAUGGGGCAGCGCUCAUUCCAUAGGGAUUGAACCCAUCUGUGGCCAGCGCAACACGUACAUUAUGAGCCUCUUCAGCUUUCUCGCGGUAAAUGGCAUCAAAGUGUUUCCAUGCUUCACCAUCGGAUGUGUGCACCAUCUUAUCAUGAUUGUAUCGUUUGCCAUUUUUGUGCCAUGUCAUCUGUUUCGCGGAUUCCUCAGUCAUGUAUAGACGCUGGAUCCUCGGUGUGAACGGAAGGUGGUGUAGGAUUGUCACGGGGAUGUCGAGCUGCCUAUCAUGUCCAUCACCAAAGUCUACCUCCAUGAACCUAGACGAUUUACACUUCGGACAGUACUUUGCUUCCGUGUAUUCUUUCCUAAAUAGCACGCAGUCCUUCGGACAAGCAUGUAUCUGCUCAUAUGUCAUCUUGAGUGCACGGAGGAGUUUCUGUGUGUUGGGGACCUUCGGCAUCCGAAGGUCCUCAAAAACGGGAUUUAACAGUAUUUCUGGAAGUAUAAUGUGUGAGCAGGUACCUUCAGACUCAAGUCGGUAUCACGGCAGGAGAAGACCCGGAUAAUACGAAGGUCUUGAUACAACGCCGAAGAUGUUAGCAGGAAAGCUUCGGCAUGGUUGCAGAAAAUGAAACCGACUUAAAGAUGAAAAGGCUAUUCAGACCUCGAUAGAUUACUAUAGAAUUAUUAUCAAAUGUAAAGGGCAUGAAUGUAAUUUUGUAUGGGCUGUGUCCCGUGCCUAUAAAUAGGUGAACAGAACCCCCGUACUGUUCACGCUGACUUGGCAUUCGCUUUUUGCGUCACGCUUGUACUGUCAUCUCCUUCCGAUUGAAGGUACACUUGUAAUUCAACGAUAUUUCUGUUUAUGUCUGAUAAUAAUAUAUAAUUGUUCAUAUUGUCUUUUAUGUUCUUUACAUUUCAUUCUUCGUCAUUGCUUAAUGAAUUUAUGAAGGUACGUCCUUCAUAACCUUCGUCCGUAAACCAUUAUAUCCUAAGGGAAAUAAUGUUUCGGAGGGCGAAGGACUUUAACGAUUAACAUUUUCUAUGUUGCCUUGUUCUUAACUCAUAGCACUUGAGAACAAGUCCCCAACAUUGGCGCCCACCUCCGGUGAACUCACUUCCACUCUUUGAAGUUUUUUGAACACCUUCGGCGAUCAUAAAUCUUCGUUAUGGCGCCGAAGAAAGCUUCAGCGACUGGGGCUGCAGCUCUGCAACCACUGGACCACAAUCAGGAGACAGUUUCCCUGCGGGAGGCCCGAAGCCAGAAAAGGAAGGCUGUCAGUCCGACACCACCAGAGGACGAGAUAGAUCAAGAAAUCAGAGAUAUGGAGAUGCUUCAUCAACAAGUACAGAGGAAGAAAGAAAAGAUGGCCAGGCUAGCUGAACUGCAGAGGCAGAUAGACGAAGCCUCUGAAGAAGUUCGUCAUCUUGCUCAGGAUGAGCAACACCGAAGGCCUCAGCACCAAGACCUUCAUCAGGAGGGUUUUCCCAACGAAGAUGACUGGUAUGACAAUUUCCAUCAUGGGAAUUUUGUUUUUGAUGAUGCUUCUCCUCUGUCCGCUGAGCUGCAGGCUACACCUUGGCCUCCGUCCUACAAGCCGCCUCAGCUUCCCGUAUUCGAUGGUCACUCAGACCCGAAGCAGUUUUUGAUGAGCUACGAAGCAACAGUAUCUUCGUAUGGUGGCAAUGCUUCAGUCAUGGCCAAAUCUUUCGUUAUGGCUGUCAGAAGUGUUGCUCAAACCUGGUAUUCCUCCCUUCGACCAGGAACGAUCACUUCAUGGCAGAAGCUGAAGGACUUGUUGUUAACUAGCUUUCAAGGAUUUCAGACGAAGCCGGUCACUGCUCAGGCUCUGUUCCAGUGCACCCAGGAUCACGAAGAAUACCUUCAGGCGUAUGUCCGAAGGUUCUUGCGUUUGAGGGCACAGGCACCAACGGUGCCCAAUGAAAUUGUCAUCGAGGCCAUGAUCAAGGGGCUUCGGCCAGGACCGUCAGCUCAGUACUUCGCCAGGAAGCCUCCUCAAACUUUGGAGAAGCUGCUCCAGAAGAUGGACGAGUACAUUCGGGCCGAUAAUGAUUUUCGCCAAAGAAGGGAGGAGGCUUUCAGGUUUUCUGAAAUGACCAGGGGCUUCGGAGGGAGGUUCUACCCGAGGCACGUGAGAUCAAUUCAUAACUCUACACAAAAAUGAUGAUAGAGGAAGCCAACAGCAAAGGCCACAAUGCUCCUCACAGGCUUCGGGGCAACAGCAAAGCUCCUUCCGACCACCAGCUCCAAGAGGCAGAGGCGCCAGGGGCUUUGGAGGAAGAUUUGGAGAUCAACCGAGAAGAAUCUUUUGCUUAUUCUGCGGUGAGAACAAAGGCCAUACUACCAGGAUGUGCCAUGUUACUAUUCAGAAGCAAAAGGAAAUAGCUGAAGCCGCAGCACAACAAGCUCAGCCGAAGCAGGUCAUGCAUACAACUUCGUAUCAUUCGCCCUACAUCCCAGAAUAUGUGGGCAACCAUCCUGCAGUUUCUGUUGCUUCGGCAAGUCAGCCUCAAGCUUCCUGGCAACAGCCUCCGCCUCCACCUCCGUUGCAACAAGGCCAGCAACCAGAAGGGAGCCAGUAUGCUCCACACCAGAGGGACUUCAGAGAGCAGUCCGAAGCUCGUACAGUCAAUAGCACUGUGCCAGAGUCAAAGCACAUCUAUUGACGAAUAUCCUACCUUAAUAGCAAUCUUUUUCAUUCAGUUUUAUUUUCUGUAAUAAAGGACAUUGUUUAGGUUUCAUGUAAUUAGUUUCGUUGAUUCCUACAAGAAAAAUAUGUUUUCCUCACAGGCUUAAAUUGAUUGAAGUUCAAAGACUUGUGAUAAAAAAAAGGACCUUCGAACUAUCGAAAAUUCUUCGAAGCAACAAAAAGUCGUUCUAAGGAACGCAGAGUAAGUUUGCCGAAGUCACAAAAAGUCGUUCCAAAGGGAGCGCAGUGUAAGUUUUCUGCUCCAAAGUCGUUCCAAAGGGAAUGCAGAGCAUACAGCGAAAAGUCAACGCUGAUACCGCCUAAGUAAAAGGCGAAGCGCGAAAAGUCAACGCGAAUACCGCUGAAAGUAAAAGGCGAAGAAGCUCCUAAGGGAGGCUUACAGCGAAAAAUAAACGCUGAUUCCGCUGAAGUAAAAGGCGAAGAAGCUCCUAAGGGAGGCUUAUAAAAGAUGUGUUUUAUUGCAGGGAUGCGUAUGUAUCUUCGGAAUAAACGUCAUCUCACAUAACAUAACAUCAUCGCAUCAUUUCGCAUAGCAUAAGCAUCAUACAUCAUUUUGCACAUGGCACAAGAGGUGGACACAUUAUUAAUCUACAGAAGAACGCUUUGAAAAAAGGGAGAAAUCAAAGUCACAAAAAGAUACAUCAUUGAUCUUCGGAAGUGUAUCUUCGGAAGUGUAGCUUCGGAAAAUAUCUUCACGAAGCCUGGAUAUUAAUCAUCAGAACAUUGGAUAUUGUUGUGACAAAGAAAAAUUCUUCUUCACGAAGCAUGAAAAGAAGGGAAGGUGUUUUUUCGUCAAAGACUCAAAAGUGGUACGUGUAAAGUUUCAUGCAUCGUAAAGAAUUGACUAACAAAAAUAGGUAUAUUACAUUUGGGGUUACAAAAUGUUACAGUAUAUUACAUUUCAGAAAGUUUUCACAAAAAUACUUAAUCUUCUCUCAAAACGACUUCUGCAGCCUCGUUCAGGAGCCGAUUGACGACUUCGUCCAUAAUAUCUUCAGCCAUCUUUUUAAUUUCGUCGUCUCCUUUCGGCUGAGGGCCCGAAGACGCUUUAGCACGAUCUGAAGUAAGACAGCAUGCGGCUACAUUGCUAUUACAAAUCGCAAACAAAUCUUAAAGCCUAAGAUUACAACACGAUAAAAACUAUUAGUUAAUACCUAAUUGACCUUCGGCCUCUGCGCUCUUUUCAGCAGCCUCAGCCACUUCUCUAGCAUCGUGAAUGCCCUUUUCACUUCUUCGAAUAAUUUCUCCGGCCAUUUCUCAGCCACCAUUAUCCCAGAUAUCGGUAAAACAUUUUCCACCAAUUAUACUAGCUUCGGCCGAAGGAUCUCUUGCAUCUUCAAAGGGCAAAGCAGCUUCGGAUUGUGCUAAAAUUUUUACAUGUUCGCAGCCCUUCUUCUCUAAGAUGGUGGCAAUCCCUCUGGCACCAGAGAAGGCACAUAUAUCUCCUCGGCUAUUUAAAAUUUCUUCGAAGGCUUCAGCUUCGUGGUCGAUCCAUUCGAUGACACCUUCGGGAUUGCUUCUCGAAAAGUUUUCCUCACUUGAGAAUGCGCCGACCUUGGCGAAGCUAGCCUUUAGCUUCUUAACACAAUCUAUAGAUUUAUUAUAGCAUCUCUUUUUGGACGAACGAAGCUCUUCAACAGUCACUUCUAGGUGAUCUGCCCAUUGAUCGCUGAGUUCACGCUUUGUUUCUUCAAGUAUGCGUUCUUCCUUGGCUCUGGCCAGUUGUUUCCGAAGAUCUUCAAUUUCGCGCUUCUGAGCUUCAGCUUGACCUUUAAAAGCAGCUUCGUCUUCCUUUAUUUUAUUUAUCAAUGAGUAUAAUAUUUUAUCUUUUUCGAGACCUUCGUUCCUCAGUUCAAUUACUUCGGAACGAAGGUUGCUCAGGGCUAUAGUACACCCUUCGUCUUCAGCAUCUUUCUGUGCCCUGAGGGCAUUGCUAAGUAUCAGGCCCUGCAAAGAGAAAUAUGUGUGCGUCAAUAGGUUUAAACAAACGAAAAAUACAAGGAUUUCAUUUCUCGCACCUUUAAGCUAUUGUAAGCCAGGCUGUCGGCCAGAUCGUUCUUCGACAGCACCGAGAGCCCGUCUUCUAAAGUUGGGAAUCCGAAGCUCUUGCUCAUCUCCCGACAGACAGAAAUUUCCUUGCUAUCGGGGAGACAAUACAAGAAGUCUUCUUCUCCACUGCCAUUGAAUAUUAACGCCCCCUUUGGAUAUUUCAGUUUUUGGGCGUAGUGCUGGGCCUCUUGCUCUUCUUUUUCUGAUAGUUUUUUCCCCGAAGCAUGGCGAACAAUAUAAUCACGAACUUUGGGGGAUGCUUCGGGGGCAAUGGCACCGGUUUCUUCAACAAAAGUUGGCUUUGUUAUUUUUUCUGCCUCACUUUCCAAGGAUUUUAUCUUUGCAGGCUCUGAGGGCCCAGCUUCGGCUUUAGUCUCUUGCCCUGAAGCUUUAGAUCCAGAAAUUUCAGUUGUUUCAGGAAUGACAGCAGCCCUCUUCGGAGGUGUGCUUGAAGAUUUGAUCGUUUCCAGUACAUCUAGCACAUUAGCCAUUCUCUUUCUUUUCGGAGUCACUGCUGGCACUUUCACUAUCUCAAUGUUUGCUGCAGGACUCAAAACUUCUGAUGUUUUGGAUCCCUCAGUUGAUUCUUUUACCUUUUCCAUUUUUUCUGUGGACGGCGCUUCGGCUUUCUCUUUCGUUUCUGAUAACAAAAUUUUUGAUUGUUCCAAUUCUAUCUUUGUUGGCACUUCGGCCGUUUCUGCGACUUCUGGCAGCAAGGUUGGCUCGGUUGGUUUUUCAGCUUCGGUGGCCGAAGAAGUUUCUCCGGUAAACUCAGGCACCGAAGCUGGUUCAAUAUAGCGCGGCCGAUGCGUAAGGACCUUUAUCUUCUUUCUUUUCGGUUCUGGCUCGCUAGGAGCAGUUGCAGCUUCUUCUUUUGCAGAGGUUGUGUUUUUUCUCUUCUGCCUUCGAAUGGGAUAGCAAUAGUCAGGGUAGACAAACCCGAUUGCAUCAAAUACCCGAUUCAGCCUCUUCUUUUUUCGGCCUCCGAAGGCUGCUGACAUUGCAGUAUCUUCGGCCUUCGAAUAGGUCCCAAGCAGCUCAUCACUUAAAUUUUCAAUGCUUUUUAACCAGUCAUCAUCUGGUUCAACGAAUUUAUCUCCAAACUUAAAAGUGUACUUCAACCUGAUAAGUCCACCUUCGUCGGCCUCUUUUAUGGUUUCUUGUGGCAUUUCCCAUUUCUCCGCAAGUGGCCAUACCCUGAAGGCGAUAUGCUCUUGUACUAAGUCCCUCGUUCCAAUAAAAGAACAGAUAACACCGAAGGCCCUCUGGCAUUCUUCGGCAGCCUCACUCAUUUCAACCUUCGGCCUCCGAAGGCCGAAGCUUUGCCAAAUAGGGCGCAUAAUUAUACCUUUGAUAUCUUCUCGCGCUGUCAGAUCAUUCUUCACAUAAAACCAUUCUGUCAUCCAGUCGCCGGGCCAUCUCUUCCGAAAGGUCGGCACGGGACAGCUUGACCCGGACCGAGAAACGAAAUUGUAGCAGCCAAAAUUAUUGUGAUACUGUUCCUUACCCCAAGGUUUUGUUUCGUAUGAUAAUUCGUGUAUAUUGCAGAAACUUUUUGCAUCAGGCUUCAGACCUUGGCUUCUCACGGCCCACACGAAGAUAUUUAGCCUUAUAAUUGCCUCAGGGGUAAGUUGAUGGAGAUAGACUUCGAAUAUUUUCAGUACCUCCACAACGAAGCUGCUCAAGGGAAAUCGCAGUCCAGCUUUCAAAAAGCUUCGGUACACUACGACUUCAUUCUCUUCAGGGUGUGGGCAAGUUUUUUCCCCUUCGUCGGCCCUCACAAUGGACAAAUCCCGGAAAUACCUUCCUCUCAUGUUGACAAGAUGAUUCUCUUUGAUAGUUGAUUUACCAUAAACUGAAUGGCUUGGUCGCCAGGGACGAUCUUCGGAGUCCUCACCACCACUGUCCACAUCAUAGCUGUCACUGUCACCAGUAUCUUCAGACAAACCUUCCAGAAUCUCCUUGGUAAUUUUUUCUGUAUUGGUCUUUGACAUCGCUAUAAGAAACCCCAAGUUUUUCUCUUCGUCAAGGCUCAGCUUCAUCUCAGCAACAGUCUUCUUAUCUUCAGACAUCUUCGGAGACGCUAAAAAACUAUUUUCAAAGCCGAAGCUUCAAAACUAAAAGCUUAGCAAAUCGCAGUGCACAAGAGCUAAAAAUUGAGUGAGCGGGAGUAGUUGGCCAGAAAGCGUGUCAAAUGAGUUUGCGGUAUGGCCGUAUUUAUACGCCAAGAGCGUUGAAAAUUCAAAGACCCCGCUUGUCAGUGAAUGUUGCUAUUCUAGCAAAGGGAAGGUGUUUUUUCGGACCUUCGGCGUAAAGCCUUCGUCCAUGUCGCAAUCUAAAUUCGUUAUUUUAAAACAAAUUAAUAUUGCGAGGGGCUACUGUUGGGGACCUUCGGCAUCCGAAGGUCCUCAAAAACGGGAUUUAACAGUAUUUCUGGAAGUAUAAUGUGUGAGCAGGUACCUUCGGACUCAAGUCGGUAUCACGGCAGGAGAAGACCCGGAUAAUACGAAGGUCUUGAUACAACGCCGAAGAUGUUAGCAGGAAAGCUUCGGCAUGGUUGCAGAAAAUAAAACCGACUUAAAGAUGAAAAGGCUAUUCAGACCUCGAUAGAUUAUAUAGAAUUAUUAUCAAAUGUAAAGGGCAUGAAUGUAAUUUUGUAUGGGCUGUGUCCCGUGCCUAUAAAUAGGUGAACAGAACCCCCGUACUGUUCACGCUGACUUGGCAUUCGCUUUUUGCGUCACGCUUGUACUGUCAUCUCCUUCCGAUUGAAGGUACACUUGUAAUUCAACGAUAUUUCUAUUUAUGUCUGAUAAUAAUAUAUAAUUGUUCAUAUUGUCUUUUAUAUUCUUUACAUUUCAUUCUUCGUCAUUGCUUAAUGAAUUUAUGAAGGUACGUCCUUCAUAACCUUCGUCCGUAAACCAUUAUAUCCUAAGGGAAAUAAUGUUUCGGAGGGCGAAGGACUUUAACGAUUAACAUUUUCUAUGUUGCCUUGUUCUUAACUCAUAGCACUUGAGAACAAGUCCCCAACACUGUGCCUCAUACAUGCUCUUUGGUAGAACGUGAUCCUCCGGAAGCAGGCUACCAAUAACUGUCAACAAGCAAUCGAAUGCGUCUUGACUCAUGUUAUACUGCGACUUGAACGCUAUUACAUGCCCAAUGGCAUCCAGUUGAGAAACCUUUGUCUGGCUGUGAAGGGGCUUCUGUGCCACGUCAAACAUGUCGUAGAACGCCUUUGCAAUCGGCUCUAGCUCGUCCUCCAUACAUCCUCCGACGAACUAUGCCUCAUGAUAGUCGUUCAACAUAUCUGCUACCCCCGCAUCAGCAUCAUAAUCCUCGACGUGUUGUCUCUGAAAGGGAAAUAAGCUUACACCUUUUCCUAAAUGAUUUUGGUGGUUGAAUUGCCCAACACAAAUAAUUGGACUAACUAGUUUGCUCUAGGUUAUAAGUUCUAUAGGUGCCAAAGGUUCAACACAUACCAAUAAAAAGUCCAAGAAAGGGUUCAAAUAAAAAGAGCAAAAGACAACCGAAGGCUGCCCUGGUCUGGCGCACUGGACUGUCCGAUGUGCCACCGGACAGUGUCCGGUGCACCAGAGAGAUUCACUCCAAACUUGCCACCUUCGGGAAUUUGGGAAGCCACUCCGCUAUAAUUCACCGGACUGUCCGGUGUGCCAAGCGGAGCAACGGUCGCCAACGCAAUGGUCGAGUUCAACGGUCGGCUGACAACGCUACAGUGCGCGGACUACGCGCGUAGAAGUCAGAGAAGGCGCAGAUGGCGCACCGGACAGUGAAGAGGACCUGUCUGGUGCACCAUCGGACUGUCCGGUGGCCCACAUGUCAGAAACUCCAACGGUCGAACCCUAACGGUUGGGUGACGUGGCUGGCGCACCGGACAGUGUCCGGUGGCGCACCGGACUGUCCGGUGCGCCCAUCGACAGCAGAGUUCCCCAACGACCACUUUGGUGGUUGGGGCUAUAAAUACCCCCCAACCACCACACUUCGAUGCAUCCAAGUUUUCAGCCAUCAAACCUCAUACAAGAGCUCUAGACUUCAUUCCAAGACACAAACAAAGAGAUCAAAUCCUCUCCCAAGUCUGGAAUCACUCCAAACAAAUUAGUGACUAGAGAGAGAGAGACUUUUGUGUUCUUUUAAGCUCUUGUGCUUGGAUCGCUUUUCUUCUUCCUCCUUUCUUGUUCUCAACUCAAUUGUAAUCAAAGCAAGAGACACCAAGUUGUGGUGGUCCUUGUAGUGGACUAAGUGUCCCGUUUGAUUGAAGAGAAAAGCUCACUCGGUCUAGGUGACCGUUUGAGAGAGGGAAAGGGUUGAAAGAGACCCGAUCUUUGUGACCACCUCAACGGGGAGUAGGUUUGCAAGAACCGAACCUCGGUAAAACAAAUCACCGUGUUCAUCUGUUUUAUUUCUUUGUUGAUUUGUUUUCCCUUUCUUUCGGACUUGAUUAUAUUUCUAACGCUAACCCUUGCUUGUAGUUGUGCUUAAACUUUAUAAAUUUCAGAUUUGCCUAUUCACCCCCCUCUAGGCGACUUUCAAUUGGUAUCAGAGCCCGGUACUUCAUUAGAGCCUAACCACUCGAUGUCAUGUCGGGAGCUCACGCCAAGAAGGAGAUGGUGACCGGCGAGAAGCCCGCCACAAGCCACGGGAAGGCUCCAUCGGGAGAGUCCGGCAACAAAAGGGAGGAAUCACCUCCCCACGUCAAGUCGCACCGGAGUGGUGACCAGAAGAAGAAAAUGAAGAAAGUGUUCUACUGUGAGACCGAUUCUUCGUCGCCAUCCACCUCCACGUCCGACGCGCCGUCCGUCACUUCUAAGCGCCAUGAGCGCAAGAAGUUUAGUAAGAUCUCCUUACGCUAUCCUCGUAUUUCCAAAUGCACUCCUUUACUUUCCGUCCCACUAGGCAAACCACCGGUUUUUGACGGUGAACAUUAUUGUAUGUGGAGUGAUAAAAUGAGGCACCAUCUAACCUCACUCCACGCUAGUAUUUGGGACAUUGUUGAGUUUGGUGCGCAGGAACCAUCCGUGGGGGAUGAAGGCUAUGAUUCGGAUGAGGUAGCCCAAAUCCAGCACUUCAACUCCCAAGCCACCACUAUACUCCUCGCCUCUCUAAGUCGAGAGGAGUAUAAUAAGGUGCAAGGGUUGAAGAGCGCCAAAGAGAUUUGGGACGUACUAAAGACCACACACGAAGGAGACGAGGUGACCAAGAUCACCAAGAGCGAAACGAUCGAGGGGGAGCUCGGUCGCUUCAUGCUUCAUCAAGGGGAGGAGCCACAAGCAAUGUACAACCGGCUCUAGACCUUGGUGAACCAAGUGCGCAACCUCAGGAGCACCAAAUGGGAUGACCAUGAAAUGGUCAAGGUUAUUCUAAGAUCACUUAUAUUUCUUAAUCCUACACAAGUUCAAUUAAUUCGUGGUGAUCCUAGAUACAAGAUAAUGUCUCCCGAGGAGGUUAUAGGAAAAUUUGUGAGCUUUGAAUUGAUGAUCAAAGGCUCCAAGAAAAUCAUCGAGCAAGGCGCCUCCUCCACACCCGAAAUGCAACUCGUCGCAUUCAAGGCAACAGAGGAGAAGAAAGAAGAGUCUACUUCAAGUAGACUUCCCAUCGACGCCUCCAAGCUCGACAACGAGGAAAUGGCGCUCAUCAUCAGGAGCUUUCGCCAAAUCCUCAAGCAAAGGAGGGGGAAGGACUACAAGCCCCGCUCCAAGAAAGUUUGCUACAAGUGUGGUAAGCCCGGACAUUUCAUUGCUAAAUGUCCAUUAUCAAGUGAUAGUGACAGGGGCGAUGACAAGAAGGGGAGAAGGAAGGAGAAGAAGAAAUAUUACAAGAAGAAGGGCGGCGAUGCCCAUGUAUGCCACGAGUGGGACUCCGAUGAGAGCUCCACCGACUCCUCCUCCGACGAGAACGCCGCAAACAUCGCCAUCAACAAGGGUCUUCUCCUUCCCAACGUCGAUCACAAGUGCCUCAUGGCAAAGGACGACAAAAAGAAGAAGGUAAAAUCUAGAGCUUCCACUAAAUAUGCAACAUCUAGUGAUGAGGCUAGCUCUAGUGAUGAUGAGGAUGAUUUGAUCACCCUUUUUGCCAACUUAAACAUUCAACAAAAAGACAAAUUGAAUGAAUCGAUUAGUGUUAUUCAUGAGAAGGAUGAACUCUUGGAUAGCCAAGAGGACUUCCUUAUUAAAGAAAAUAAGAAGCAUGUUAAAGUUAAAAAUGCUUAUGCUCAGGAGAUAGAAAAAUGUGAAAAAUUAACUAGUGAUCUAAGCACUUGCCAUGACACUAUUUUCAACCUUAGAUUUGAAAAUGACAAAUUGAUUGCUAAGGUUGAGAAAUUAAAUGUUAGUGAUGAUUCUCUUGUCAACCUUAGAAAUGAUAAUGCUAAUUUGAUUGCUAAGGUUGACAAAUUGAAUGCAUCUCUCUCUAGCCUUAAAAUUGAGAAUGAAAAAUUAAUUGCUAAGGCUAAAGAUUUAAAUGUUUGCAAUGUUUCUAUUUCCAAUCUUAGAGAUGAGAACACUAUUUUACAUGCUAAGAUUGUUGAAUUAAAUACUUGCAAACCCUCAACAUCUACCGUUGAACAUGUUACUAUUUGCACUAGAUGUAGAGAUGUUAAUAUUGAUGCUAUUCAUGAUCACAUUGCUAUGAUUAAACAACAAAAUGAUCAUAUAGCAAAAUUAGAUGCUAAAAUUGCCGAGCAUGAAUUAGAGAAUGAAAAAUUUAAAUUUGCUCGUAAUAUGCUUUAUGGUGGGAGACGCCCUGGCAUUAAGGAUGGCAUUGGCUUCCAACAGGGAGGCGAUGUCAAACUCAAUGCCCCUAAGAAAUUGUCCAACUUUGUUAAGGGCAAGGCUCCCAUGGUUUAGGAUAACGAGGGUUACAUUUUAUACCCUGACGGUUAUCCCGAACAUAAAAUUAGGAGAAUUCACUCUAGGAAGUCUCACUCUGGCUCUCAUCAUGCUUUUAUGAAUAAGAGUGAGGCAUCUAGUUCUAGGAAAUCCACCCAUGCUAAAUUGCCUAAGAAGAAAACUCCUAUAGCAUCAAACGAACCUAAUUUUUCAUUUAAGACUUUUGAUGCUUCUUAUGUGCUCACUAACAAAUCAGGCAAAAUAGUUGCCAAAUAUGUUGGGGCUAAACACAAGGGAUCAAAGACUUGUGUUUGGGUACCCAAGGUGCUUGUUUCUAAUGUGAAAGGACCCAAGACCAUUUGGGUACCUAAGAACAAGGCCUAAACUUGUUUUGUAGGUUUAUGCAUGCGGGGGCUCAAGUUUGAUCAUCGAUAGCGGGUGCACAAACCACAUGACUGGGGAGAAAAUAAUGUUCUCCUCCUAUGAGAAAAAUCAUGAUCCCCAAAGAGCUAUCACAUUCGGGGAUGGAAAUCAAGGUUUGGUCAAAGGACUUGGUAAAAUUGCUAUAUCCCCUGACCAUUCUAUUUCCAAUGUUUUUCUUGUAGAUUCUUUAGAUUACAACUUGCUUUCUGUUUCUCAAUUAUGCAAAAUGGGUUACAACUGUCUUUUUACGGAUAUAGGUGUUACUGUCUUUAGAAGAAGUGAUGAUUCUGUAGCAUUUAAGGGAGUGUUAGAGGGUUAGCUAUACUUAGUUGAUUUUAAUAGAGCUGAACUCGACACUUGCUUAAUUGCUAAGACUAACAUGGGUUGGCUCUGGCAUCGCCGACUUGCCCACGUUUAAAUGAAGAAUCUCCACAAACUUCUAAAGGGAGAACACAUUUUGGGACUAACAAAUGUUCAUUUUGAGAAAGACAGGGUUUGUAGCGCAUGUCAAGCAGGGGAAGCAAGUUGGUGUUCAUCAUCCACACAAGAACAUAAUGACGACCGACAGACCGCUUGAGCUACUCCACAUGGACCUAUUCGGCCCGAUAGCUUAUAUAAGCAUCAACGGGAGUAAGUAUUGUCUUGUAAUUGUGGAUGAUUAUUCUCGCUUCACUUGGGUGUUAUUUUUGCAGGAAAAAUCUCAAACCCAAGAGACCUUAAAGGGAUUCUUGAGAUGGGCUCAAAAUGAGUUCGGCUUAAGGAUCAAAAAGAUAAGAAGCGACAACGGGACGGAGUUCAAGAACUCUCAAAUAGAAGGCUUCCUUGAGGAUGAGGGCAUCAAGCAUGAGUUCUCUUCUCCCUACACACCACAACAAAAUGGUGUAGUGGAGAGGAAGAAUAGAACUCUACUUGACAUGGCGAGGACCAUGCUUGAUGAGUACAAGACUUCGGACCGGUUUUGGGCGGAAGCAGUCAACACCGCUUGCUACGCCAUCAACCGUCUCUACCUUUGCCGAAUACUCAAGAAGACAUCGUAUGAACUACUCACCGGUAAAAAGCCCAAUGUUUCAUAUUUUAGAGUCUUUGGUAGCAAAUGCUUUAUUCUUGUUAAAAGAGGUAGAAAAUCUAAAUUUGCUCCUAAGGCUGUAGAAGGCUUUUUACUUGGUUAUGAUUCAAACACAAGGGCAUAUAGAGUCUUUAACAAGUCCUCUGGACUAGUUGAGGUUACUUGUGACAUUGUGUUUGAUGAGACUAACGGCUCUCAAGUAGAGCAAGUUGAUCUUGAUGAGCUAGAUGAUGAAGAGGCUCCAUGCGUCGCGCUAAGGAACAUGUCCAUUGGGGAUGUGUGUCCUAAGGAAUCCGAAGAGCCUCCACAAGCACAAGAUCAACCAUCUUCCUCCAUGCAAGCAUCUCCACCAACUCAAGAUGAGGAUCAAGCUCAAGAGGAUGAAAAUGAAGAUCAAGAAGAUGAGCCACCUCAAGAGGAGGGCAAUGAUCAAGGGGGAGAUGCCAAUGAUCAAGACAAGGAAGAUGACGACAGUCCAAGACCACCACACCCAAGAGUCCACCAAGCAAUACAAAGAGAUCACCCCGUGAACUCCAUCCUCGGCGAUAUUCAUAAGGGGGUAACCACUCGAUCUCGUGUUGCUCAUUUUUGUGAACAUUACACCUUUGUAUCUUCUAUUGAGCCAUAUAGGGUGGAAGACACAUUAAGGGAUUCAGAUUGGGUGUUGGCGAUGCAAGAGGAACUCAACAACUUCACGAGGAAUGAGGUAUGACAUUUAGUUCCACGCCCUAAUCAAAAUGUUGUAGGAACCAAGUGGGUCUUCCGCAACAAGCAAGAUGAGCAUGGUGUGGUGACAAGGAACAAAGCCCGACUUGUGGCCAAGGGAUAAUCACAAGUCGAAGGUUUGGAUUUCGGUGAAACCUAUGCACCCGUAGCUAGGCUUGAGUCAAUUUGUAUAUUACUUGCCUAUGCUACUUACCAUGGCUUCAAGCUUUAUCAAAUGGACGUGAAAAGUGCCUUCCUCAAUGGACCAAUCAAGGAAGAAGUCUAUGUUGAGCAACCUCCCGACUUUGAAGAUAGUGAGUACCCUAACCAUGUGUAUAAACUCUCUAAGGCGCUUUAUGGGCUCAAGCAAGCCCCAAGAUCAUGGUAUGAAUGCCUAAGAGAUUUUCUUAUCGCUAAUGGCUUCAAAGUCGGAAAAGCCGAUCCUACUCUCUUUACUAAAACAAUUGCAAAUGAUUUGUUUGUAUGCCAAAUUUAUGUUGAUGAUAUUAUAUUUGGGUCUACUAACAAAUCUACAUUUGAAGAGUUUAGUAGAUAAUGGUACAAAAAUUCGAGAUGUCUAUGAUGGGGGAGUUGAAGUAUUUCUUAGGAUUUCAAGUGAAGCAACUCCAAGAGGGCAUCUUCAUCAGUCAAACGAAGUACAUUCAAGACAUACUCACCAAGUUUGGGAUGAAGGAUGCCAAGCCUAUCAAGACACCCAUGGGAACCAAUGGGCAUCUUGACCUCGACACGAGAGGUAAAUCCAUAGAUCAAAAGGUAUACCGGUCGAUGAUAGGAUCUUUACUCUAUUUAUGUGCAUCUCGACCGGAUAUUAUGCUUUUCAUAUGCAUGUGUGCAAGAUUCCAAGCCGAUCCUAAGGAAGUUCACCUUAGGGUCGUGAAAUGAAUCUUGAGAUAUUUAGUUCAUACUCCUAAGUUUGGCCUUUGGUACCCCAGGGGAUCCACAUUUGAUUUAAUAGGAUAUUUAGAUGCUGAUUGGGCAGGGUGUAAAAUUGAUAGAAAGAGCACAUCAGGGACUUGUUAGUUCUUGGGAAGAUCCCUGGUGUCAUAGGCUUCAAAGAAGCAAAAUUUUGUAUCUCUUUCUACCACCGAAGCCGAGUACAUUACCGCAGGCCAUUGUUGCGCGCAAUUGCUUUGGAUGAGGCAAACCCUUAGGGACUAUGGUUACAAAUUAACCAAAGUUCCGCUCCUAUGUGAUAAUGAGAGUGCAAUCCACAUGGUGGAUAAUCCCGUUGAGCACAACCGCACUAAGCACAUAGCCAUUCGGUAUCACUUUUUGAGGGAUCACCAACAAAAGGGGGAUAUCGAGAUUGUUUAUAUUAACACCAAAGAACAAUUAGCCGAUAUCUUUACCAAUGUUGGGGACUUGUUCUCAAAUGCUAUGAGUUAAGAACAAGGCAACACAAGAAAUGUUAAACGUUAAUGCCCUUCGUCCUUCGAGACAUUAUUUCCCUUAGGAUAUAAUGAUCUUCAGACGAAGGUCAUGAAGGACAUACCUUCAUCAUUGCAAUAUACGAUAAUAAAAGGAGAAUCAUAUAGAAUGUAAGAGACAACAUGAAUAAGUAUGUAAUAUUAUCAGCACAUUUCUAUUUUAUUAUCAUGGACAAAUAGAAAUGAUAUCAAAUUACAAAUGUACCUUCAGCUUGAUGGAAGGUAAAAGUACAAGUGUGACGCACGAUCAAAUACAAGUCAGCGUGAACAGUACGGGAGCACUGUUCAUCUAUUUAUAGGCACGGGACACAGCCCAUGUAAAAUUACACCCAUGCCUUUUACAUUUGCUAAUGACUCUAUAGUGAUCCAUCGAGGUCUAAAUGACCUUUUCCCUUUUAAGUCGGUUCCCUUUUCCGCUGUUAUGCCAAAGCUCCCUUGCGCGUAGCUUCGGCGCUACGUCAACCUUCGUAUUCUUUGUGCUUCUCACACUGUGGUUCUGAUCCGAGUCCGAAGGUACCUGUUCAUGUAUCAUACUCCAGAAAUAAUGUUAAAUCAUGUUUUUGAAGACCUUCGGAAGACGAAGGCCCCCAACAGUAGCCCCUCGCAAUAUUAAUUUGUUAGAAUAACGAAUUCAAAUUGCGAUAUGGACGAAGGCCUUAAGCCAAAAUUCUGAAAAAACACCUUCCCUUUGCUAGAAUAGCAACAGUCGAUGACAGACGGGGCCCUCCAAUUUGGAACGCACUGGGCGUAUAAAUAGGAACUCACCCCGAGCACAUUUGGUACGCUAUCUGCCGCCUGCUUUGCUUGCUCAAUUUUUUAGCUCUUGCCUACCAACGCUUGCUUGGUUUUUUAGACUUUCUAAGCUUCGGCUUUAAGGACACAUUUUCGCCAUUUCCGAAGAGAAGAUGUCUCAAGACAAAAAAGUUGUUGCUGAGACGAAGCUGAGCGAAGAGGAGAAGCUCCAUGAGGAGAAGACUGCUGGAUUUGUUGAAUCAAUAGCAAAGAAAAAUACAGAAAAGAUUACUAAGGAGAUUCUAGAAGGCUUAUCUGAAGAUACUGAUGACAGCGACAGUUAUGAUGCGGAAAGCGGAGGCGAAGACUCCGAAGAUCGGCCCUGGCGACCAAGCAUGCAGUCUUCGGGAAAUCAACCAUCAAACAGAGUCAUCUUGAUAAUAUGAGAGGAAGGUAUUUUCGAUAUUAUUUUUUUGUUCUUAUAUUAACCCAUUCAUUCUUUUCAUAUAGGGUUUAAUACUUAGCAACGCCUUAAGGGCGCAAAAGAAUGUCGAAGACGAGAGUUGCACUAUUGCUCUCAACAACCUUCAAACAGAGGUUAUCAAGCUGAGGAACGAAGCUUUGGAAAAAGAAAAAAUUCUACUUACAUUGGUGGACAAAGUAAAGGGGGAUGAAGCUAACUUCAAGGCUCAAUCUGAAAUCCAAAGGAAUGAGAUUGAAAACCUUCAAAAACAACUGGCCGAAGCCAAAUUGAAAUGCGCUAUUGCCGAAGCUGACCGAGUUGCCAGUGAGUACUAGAAAAAUUAUCUUGAAAAACAGUUGCAGAGCUUCGCUCAUCAAAAGAAAGAUGUUUUGAAAAAUCUGUGGAAUGCGUGAAAAAGAUAAAAACUAGCUUUGCCAACGUUGGCGCAUAUUCAAGCGAAGAUAACUUCAUACGGGGCGACCCCGAAGGCGUAAUCGAGUGGAUCAGCGGUGAGGCCGAAGCCUUUGAAGAGAUUUUGAGUGACCGCGGGGACGUCUGUGCCUUCUCUGGUGCGAGAGGAAUUGCAGCUAUUUUGGAGAAAGCAGGGUGCGAACAUGUUAAAACUUUGGCCCAGGCCGAAGCUGCCUUCUCCACCGAUGAUAUAAAGGACCCCUCGGCCGAAGCAAACUCAAUAGGUGGAAAAAAUUUCACUGAUAUCUGGGAAAACGGUGGCCGAGGGAUGGCCCAUGAAAUUAUAAAGAAAAACGAAAAAGAUAUUCACGACACUCGAGAGUCAAUAAAAGAAGCUGAAAAGGCUGCGGAGCUUGAGAGACGAAUAUGUAUUACUUAAUGGUUUUUAACUUUGUUGUUUAUUUUUGUGACUUUGAACUGAUUUAUGUUUUCUACCUUAGCUGAACUAUCUCCUCCCCCAGCGCCCUUAGAGUCAUUGGCCGACCCAGAGGCAAAGGAAUCAACAGAACUUAUUAACAUGGCCGAAACUAUUGUAGACGAAGUCGUUACCCAACUGCUGACCGAAUUUGCACAUAAAGUUUUGAAGGAAGAAGAGUAGCUAUUGUAAAAACAUUGCUAGAAUAUUAAUGUAACAUUUGCCGGACUAUGCUUGUAAUAUUUGGUGCUCCUAGGUUUUGAAUGUAAUAUAUGAAUGGUUUUGUAAUUCAUUUCUUUGCGAUGCAUGAAACUUUUAUGUACAUACCGUUUUUGAGCCUUCGGCGAAAAAACACCUUCCCUUCUUUUCAUGUUCGUAAAGAAGAGCUUUUAUGCUUCGUAAAAAAUCCUCCAAUCGUCGCAAAAACAUUAAUGCUUCGUCAACAACAGAUUUUUCCUCCACAUCAGAGCUGAUGAAGCUGUAUUUCUUCAAAACUUAUUUUGUGCCUUAGCACAAUUUCACUUUUUUCGAAGCAUUCUUCGAAGGUCAACAUUGUAUCCCCUUCUUGUGCCAUUGAUGCAAUAUGAUGUAUGAUGUUAUGUUAUGUGAAAUGAUGUGAUGAUGUUAUGUUAUGCAAAAUGAUGUUUAUGCCGAAGACACACACUCACACCCCCAUAGUGGAAUACACAAUCUCUUUGCCGCUUAUUUUUCGGCUUCACCGCUUAUUUUUCGGUGUAUCAGCGCUGACUUUUCACUGUAAGUUCUGCAUUCCCUUAGGAACGUCUUUUGAACUUCUUCACCUUCUAUUUCGGCGGUAUUCGCGUUGACUUUUCGCGCUUCGCCUUAUAUUUCGGCGGUAUUUGGCUCUGCAUUCCCUUUGGAAUGACUUUUGAGCAGAAAACUUACACUGCGCUCCCUUAGGAACGACUUUUUGUAGCUUCGGCAAACUUACGCUGCGUUCCUUAGAACGACUUUUUUGUGGCUUCGGUGAUACUUGUAAUGUGAUUUUUAGCCCCGCGUUCCCUUAGGAACGACUUUUGUGCUUCAGUGACUUUUUGAACUUCGUGAGUCUGUGGAGAAGAUAUAUUUCACUAUGGCAAGAACGAAGUUAUUACAAGAAAUCAAGAGAGCUAGGUUUUCAAUAAUUGUUCCUUAUUAAAAAGGAAGUGAUAAUGAAUGUAAAAACUGCUUCAGGGGUAGGAUAUCUCUCAAUAGAUAUGCUUCGAUUCUAGCACAGUACUGUUGGCUGUGCGAGCUUCGGACUCCUCCCUGAAAUCUCGUUGCUGAUGGGUCUGUUGGCUCCCUUCUGGCUGCUGGCCUCGUGAAUAUGCAGGUUGUAGUGGUGGCAGAGGUGGAGGCUGUGGCCAAGAUGCAUGUGGCUGGCUAGCCGAAGCAACAGAAGCUGCAGGAUGGUUACCCACAUACUCUGGUAUGUAGGGUGAGUGAUACGAAGCAGUGUGCAUGACCUGCUUCGGCUGGUUCUGCUGAGCUGCGGCUUCUGCUAAUUCCUUUUGUUUCUGAAUGGUGACAUGGCACAUCCUUGUAGUAUGGCCCUUGUCCUCACCACAGAAUAAGCAAUUUUCCUAGGUUGAUCCCCAAACCUUCCUCCGAAGCCCCUGGCACCUCUGCCUCUUGGAGUUGGCGGCCGAAAAUAGGUUUGUUGCUGCCCCGAAACUUGCGAGGAAUAUUGUGGCUUCUGUUGCUGACUUCCUCUGUCGUCAUUCUGGGUGGAGUGGAUUGAUCUGACAUGCCUUGGGUGGAUUCUUCCUCCGAAGCCCCUGGUCAUCUCAGAGAACCUGUAGGCUUCCUCCCUUCUUUGGCGAAAGUCAUUGUCAGCCCGGAUGUAUUCAUCCAUCUUUUGAAGCAGCUUCUCCAAAGUCUGUGGAGGCUUUCUAGCAAAAUACUGGGCAGUAGGUCCUGGAUGAAGCCCCUUGAUCAUGGCCUCAAUGACAAUUUCAUUGGGCACAGUAGGCACUUGUGCUCUCAGACGCAAGAACCUUCAGACGUAUGCCUGGAGAUACUCCUCAUGAUCUUGCGUGCAUUGAAACAGAGCCUGAGCUGUGACUGGCUUCGUCUGAAAGCCCUGGAAACUUGUCACCAGCAUGUCCUUGAGCUUCUGCCAUGAAGUGAUGGUCCCUGGCCGAAGAGAAGAAUACCACGUUUGAGCCACAUUCUUAACUGCCAUGACGAAGGACUUGGCCAUGACAGCUGCAUUGCCUCCGUAUGAAGAUAUAGUUGCUUCAUAACUCAUCAAAAACUGCUUCGGGUCUGAAUGCCCAUCAUACAUUGGAAGCUGAGGUGGCUUGUAUGAUGGGGGCCACGGGAUAGCCUGCAGUUCUGCUGCCAAGGGAGAAGCAUCAUCAAAAGUAAAGGUAUCAUGAUUAAAAUCAUCAUACCAUCCAUCGUCGUUGAACAAGCCCUCUUGAUGAAGCUCCCUGUGUUGGGGCCUUCGAUCUUGCUCGUCUUGAGCAAGGUGGCGUACUUCUUCAGUGGCUUCGUCAAUCUGCCUUUGAAGGUCAGCUUGUCGGGCCAUCUUCUCCUUCUUCUUUUGCACUUGCUGAUGAAGCAUCUCCAUGUUUCUGAUUUCUUGGUCCAACUCGUCCACCUGGGGUGUUGGACUAGUGGCCUUCCUCUUCUGGCUUCGGGCCUCUCGAAGAGAAAGGGUCUCCUGAUUUGGGUCCAGUGGCUGCAGAGCGGCAGCCCCUAGCGCUGAAACUUUCUUCGGUGGCAUGACGAAGGUCAAUGCUUGCCGAAGGUGGUCGAAAAGAGUUCACCCCACGGUGGGCGCCAAUGUUGGGGACUUGUUCUCAAAUGCUAUGAGUUAGGAACAAGGCAACAUAAGAAAUGUUAAACGUUAAUGCCCUUCGUCCUUCGAGACAUUAUUUCCCUUAGGAUAUAAUGAUCUUCAGACGAAGGUCAUGAAGGACAUACCUUCAUCAUUGCAAUAUACGAUAAUAAAAGGAGAAUCAUAUAGAAUGUAAGAGACAACAUGAAUAAGUAUGUAAUAUUAUCAGCACAUUUCUAUUUUAUUAUCAUGGACAAAUAGAAAUGAUAUCAAAUUACAAAUGUACCUUCAGCUUGAUGGAAGGUAAAAGUACAAGUGUGACACACGAUCAAAUACAAGUCAGCGUGAACAGUACGGGAGCACUGUUCAUCUAUUUAUAGGCACGGGACACAGCCCAUGUAAAAUUACACCCAUGCCCUUUACAUUUGCUAAUGACUCUAUAGUGAUCCAUCGAGGUCUAAAUGGCCUUUUCCCUUUUAAGUCAGUUCCCUUUUCCGCUGUUAUGCCGAAGCUCCCUUGUGCGUAGCUUCAGCGCUACGUCAACCUUCGUAUUCUUUGUGCUUCUCACACUGUGGUUCUGAUCCGAGUCCGAAGGUACCUGUUCAUGUAUCAUACUCCAGAAACAUUGUUAAAUCAUGUUUUUGAGGACCUUCGGAAGACGAAGGCCCCCGACAACCAAGCCACUAGAUGAGAAAACUUUUACCAAUCUUAGGCAUGAGCUAAACAUUCUAGAUUCUAGGAAUUUUGAUUGAUAUUUUGCACACAUAGCUUAUUUCAAUACCUUUGAUCAUAUCUCUUUCAUGUGCUAUGACUAAUGUGGUUUUCAAGUAUAUUUCAUGCUAAGUCAUAGAUUGAAAGGAAAAUGGAGUCUUCGGCGAAGAAAAGGCUUCCACUCCAUCGAAUUAUUCAUCCUUCGCCGACACUCCACAUCGCUCUCCAAUUUGGUAUAAUCUUCACUCCUACAUUAUUUACCAAAGGGGGAGAAAGUUUGAAAAAGGGCUUAUAUUUUCACUCACAAGUAUCCGUUUUUGGCGAUUCAUGCCAAAGGGGGAGAAAGUAUUAGCCCAAAGCAAAAGGACCGCACCACCACCAAUUUCAAAAAUGAAGUCUUUUAAAUUUGUACUAAAAGAAGGUUUUUCAAUUGGUAUCUUAUUUUUGAUAGAAUUUUCAAAUUGGUAUAACCCAUUUCAAAAUUAAUAUCUAAAACUCUCUUGAACAAUAAGAGGAGAAUUUCAUUAAGGGGGAGUUUUGUUUAGUCAAAGGAAAAGCAUUUGAAACAGGGGGAGAAAAUUUCAAAUCUUAAAAAUGCUUCUCAAAAUCUUACUCAUUUACCUUUGACUACUUGCAAAAAGACUUUGAAAAGAAUUUCCAAAAGAGUUUGCAAAAACAAAACAAGUGCUGCAAGCGUGGUCCAAAAUGUUAAAAUAGAAGAAAGCAUCCAUGCAUAUCUUAUAAAAUGUAUAUUGGUUUAAUUCCAAGUAACCUUUGCACUUUCAUUAUGCAAACUAGUUCAAUUCUGCAAUUAUAUAUUUGCUUUGGUUUGUGUUGGCAUCAAUCAUCAAAAAGGGGGAGAUUGAAAGGGAAAUAGGCUUACACCUUUUCCUAAAUGGUUUUGGUGGUUGAAUUGCCCAACGCAAAUAAUUGGACUAACUAGUUUGCUCUAGAUUAUAAGUUCUACAUGUGCCAGAGGUUCAACACAAACCAAUAAAAAGUCCAAGAAAGGGUUCAAAUAAAAAGAGCAAAAGACAACCGAAUGCUGCCCUGGUCUGGCGCACCGGACAGUGUCCGGUGCACCAGGGAGAUUCACUCCAAACUUGCCACCUUUGGGAAUUUGGGAAGCCACUCCGCUAUAAUUCACCGGACUGUCCGGUGUAGCACCGGACUGUCCAGUGUGCCAAGCGGAGCAACGGUCGUUAGCGCAACGGUCGAGUUGAACGGUCGGCUCACAACGCUACAGUGCGCGUACUGCGCGCGCAGAAGUUAGAGCAGGUGCAGAUGGCGCAUCGGACAGUGAACAGGACCUGUCCGGUGCACCACCGGACUAUCCGGUGGCCCACAUGUCAGAAGCUCCAACGGUCGAACCCUAACGGUUGGGUGACGUGGCUGGCGCACCGGACAGUGGCCGGUGGCGCACCGGACUGUCCGGUGCGCCCAUCGACAGUAGAGUUCCCCAACGGCCACUUUGGUGGUUGGGGCUAUAAAUACCCCCCAACCACCACACUUCAAUGCAUCCAAGUUUUCAGCCAUCAAACCUCAUACAAGAGCUCUAUACUUCAUUCCAAGACACAAACAAAGAGAUCAAAUCCUCUCCCAAGUCCGGAAUCACUUCAAACAAAUUAGUGACUAGAGAGAGAGACUUUUGUGUUCUUUUGAGCUCUUGCGCUUGGAUCGCUUUUCUUCUUCCUCCUUUCUUGUUCUCAACUCAAUUGUAAUCAAAGCAAGAGACACCAAGUUGUGGUGGUCCUUGUAGUGGACUAAGUGUCCUGUUUGAUUGAAGAGAAAAGCUCACUCAGUCUAGGUGACCGUUUGAGAGAGGGAAAGGGUUGAAAGAGACCCGGUCUUUGUGACCACCUCAACGGGGAGUAGGUUUGCAAGAACCGAACCUCGGUAAAACAAAUCAUCGUGUUCAUUCGUUUUAUUUCUUUGUUGAUUUGUUUUCCCUCUCUUUCGGACUCGAUUAUAUUUUUAACGCUAACCCCGACUUGUUGUUGUGCUUAAACUUUAUAAAUUUCAGAUUUGCCUAUUCACCCCCCCUUUAGGUGACUUUUAGUCUCAACACCUCCUCUCUCGUACGAUGCGCUUUACCAUGGAAGAUCCACCGAGUAUAGUCUGGCGUAAAUCUGAUCUUCCAAAUAUGUUCUACCAUGGCCUUCUUUGAUUUUCUUUUCCGGUUGGCACAUUUGCUGCACGGGCAUGGGACUAGACUCGCUCCUUUAGCAGCUUUGCCAUAUGCCCGUUCCACAAAAGCAUCGGUCUUUCUAAUCCAUUCAGGGGUGACAUCAUUCCUACUUACACGGCAUGUGUACAUCCACUCACGGUCUUCCAUCCUCUAACAUAUGUAACCGAGUAUAGUUUAAUAUAAACAUGUAAUGCAUGUACGCUAUGUUCCUACCUUAUAAUAGGUGAGUAUAGUUCUUAAUCUCACUCGCGGUUGCGUAGACGAAGUUAGUUUCCAUGCUCUACUUCGAUCCAAGACAGAGUUCCGGCAGCACCUCCCCGUUGUUCUCCGGAUACACGCCCUAGCAGGUAGAAUGUACUGUCCGGAGAUCAACAUGGAGGUGAAACCGAAACUCUGUCUCGGACCGGAGUAGAGCAUGGAAACUAAUACCAGGGCGACGGUGGAGUAGGGAUAGCGGGGCUGUGGCGGGUCGGUGCAGUGGCGACGUGUCGCAGUGCAGGUUCUAGUGUGGCGGCAAGGAAUACCUCUGCAAAAAAAAAUUAACACAAGUUUAUCAACAAAAAAAUCGGCAGGACUUCCCCUGCACGAGGAGGUUGCAAAAAACCAGCAAAUAAAACUAACAGCACGAUGGCUGACAUCCACACAUAUACUAGCAAAAAAUAGACUUGCGUGUGUUAUUUACAAUUGUGUUAGUUACACACAAUCUAUUGAUGCCAUAUUUGUUGUGUACUAGCGAUUGGCAAGAAGAAUCAACUUUUAGGCACUAAAACAUCUAGUGGGUUCAAAUUAAAGAACUUCUUCUAUUAAUUACAGAACCACCCCAUCGGCCGACCAGGAUCCAAAUUAAAGAACUUCUUCUUCUAUUAAUUAUAGUAUAUUAUAAUUACCAAGUCUCUUCUUAUAUUUACAUGUUCAUUUGCUUGCUUCUUGCAUAACAUAACGGCGAUCGAUGAUGACCAUCGUUAGUUUUAGUCCUACGUGUAUUUGAUUCAAUCCCUCCAUGUUCAUAGUAUAAAUUCAACCAAACCUAAAUAAGUUUCAGUCAGCUUGAUCUUAAAAUUGCAUCAUACACACACAUACAUAGUCUUACUAGAAGUAAGCAAUUUCUUUUAAACUAAUUUCCAGCCAACAUUGAUGAAUGAACUAGAAUGUGGCUAUAACCGAGACCUGUGUGGGUGGUGCUGGAGAUGGGGACGUUGGGCCGAGGCUCACCGGCGUCGAGGCCUGUCCGAAGAUGGCCGACCGCCAGGCCGGGGACGGGGCUCGUUGGAGAUGGCCGGGUCGAGCGACGGUGGGGACGUCGGAGGCAGGGAGGAUGGCCGGCACGGUGUCCGGAGCCGGAGGGGAUGACCGGAGAGGAGGAUGGUCGGCGCUUGCUCCGAUGGCGUUGGCGGCGAGUGGCGUUGGCGGAGGGGACGACUGGUUAGGGCUAUGUACACAGACUUUGCCGAGUGCCAUAUCACGGGCACUCGGCAAAGAUUUUUUUUAAAUUUAAAAAUAAACUUUGCCGAGUGUCACAGAUCACUGACAGGCACUUGGCAAAGAUUGUUUUAAUUUUUUUAAAAAAACUUUACAGAGUGUCCCACGGCAGGCACUCGACAAAGAAUGCUUUACUGACUGCCUUAUUUUGACACUCGACAAAGAAUUCUUUGCCAAGUGCCCGAUAAAAAGCACUUGGCAAAGCACCGAGCACUCGGCAAAGAGCCGGAUUCCGGUGUGGUUGUUUCAUGGAAGUUGUAAGUAGACCAUCUUAACAAGGUCAACAAUAGAAGUACAACUCACAACAUUAGAUACUGCCAAAGUUAAUGUUGAGAGGCUUCGUGAACUCCUUAUGGAUUUACUAGUAGUUGAAAAACCAAUACUGGUUAUCUAUAUGAGCUAUAAUAAUUAAACAUUGGUAAUCAAAGUGAACAAUUCUUAGGUUAACAUGAAGACUACAAAGCAUGUCAAGAACGGUUGAAACUGUUAAAACACUAAGAAACUCUAGAUUAAUUGUGUUGGACUAUGUCCAUACUUCUAAGAAUUUGGUAUGCCAGUUUAUAGAAGAUUUGUCACAUAAUGUGAUAGAUGGUGCAUCGAGAAAGAUGGACUUGAGACCCACUUAAUGCCAUUCCAUAGUAGUAGCAUUUUCUAUGUGAUUGGAGAUCUCAUGAAGUAAAAUGGUGAAAUAAGCUAGAGAAUGACUGAUGGAGAGACUCCUUAAAUAAAAUCUAGGUAAUUUCAUAUGAACAUUUCUCCUUCGAUGUACGAUAGGCUAACUAAAAUCUUAAUAUGAUUUGAGUGACAUAUCUAAGCAGGGAUGUUAUCUUAUAGAACAUCCUAUAAGGAACACACCUAUAUGACUUUGACUACUAAUCACAGUCUAUGAUAUGUGGGAAAUAUUUUUUUACUCAUGAAAGGCCUCGAAGUUUGACUUAUAUGCUUCAAACCAAUGGAUAACUGAUUGAAUCUGUUUCAGACAGCAGCAUAGUUAACUUCAAAAUUCUAUAUCUCCCAAACUUCUCAACCAAAAAUUAUUAAAUUAUGCUGACAGUAAGAACUUUUAUCCCUCUACAAAAGUCUCCAUAGUUGGAAGAGCCAAUUCGGCCAUUUACUAGAUGAAACCUACCAGUUAACAGACCCGCUCAUUUUUGUCAGGCAAACAAGAACCCUUAUAUAUCAAAGAGUAGUGGAUUUGAAUUUGUCUAAUAUGAAGUUUAUGGGCUUGGAUCAUUUAAAGUAUUUUAUAAUUCUGAAAGACAAGAUUAAACUAACUAUGUAUGAUCCUUUAGCACCGUACAGAUGGUCGAUGGGACAGUUACAUGGUUUAUAUAGAUGGACCUAUCUAUAUUCCUUCAGUGGUUGAGAACAAGGUAAAGGUGUGUCACACUCACGCGUGCGCCGCCUCCGCCGAGACGAGGCAUGGCGUUGCAGGGUGAGGCAUGGCAUGGUGCAGCACGAUCGCAGUCAUGGUCGUGGCACAGUGUAGCACUGUUGUGGAUAGAUAGAUAAACUAUUGUUGUAGUUAGAGUGCAUGAGUUUUUGAAUGCAACACUAGAAUUUUCACAAUUUAACUUAAUUAAGAAGUUAUAUCUUGAUGACACAGAGUUACCUGACCAUUGAUCUCACAUGCCCUUUUAGCUCUCUCGUACUCUAGACUUACCCUGACUAUUUAGGUCUCCUGACUCGCCAAUAUAAACACCAUCCUAUCAUUUGCUGUCGAAUACUUCUGUGUCACAACUCAACUGUCAGAUGAGUACUCCAUUACAGCACUGAGCAGGCCUCCGAAAUGAAUAUCUACUCAGAUGAAGGACGACAAUCGUGUUCUAGGGAAAUAUCAGCGACACAACUCCUUACUUCCUCCGCUUCUUCCUAGUGUUUUUUGUUGUGAUUGAGUCGACAUAGCAACAACACUGCACUAUUACAACCAGUACGACUAUAUCAACUAGCAAUGUCUUCCUUAUAUGUUACUAUUUAUUUUGCUCAUAUUCAUUAUGUUUAAAUCACAUAGGCGCCUUUAUGUUGGCAUCAAAAAAUCAGUAUCAACUUUAUAGAUUAAAAUGAAACUAAAAGUACCUAAAUUUCUAUCGGUGGGGAUCGAGUGAUUCUUUAAACCGAUUAUUACACAAGUUAACCACACUAAAAUUAACAAUGGUGAAUCGUGCCAUGAUUUUUUUCUAGUGGAAAAUAGCCAAACCAAGCAACACAUAUGUGGCUAUCGUUACACAUGUGUAAAGGUAUUGCAUCACACCAUUGUCACCCAUGUAUGUGGACAAUACCGAGAGGAAAAACCACUUAUUUAUUGUAUUUUAUCAAGUUUGUCUUGCUUACGUAUAAAUUAUAACCCAACAAAGUAAUCACUAAAUGUCAAAACCAACUAGAUACCAUGUCAUCUCUACCUUAUCUUACUAAUAUUCUUUUUGCAAAAUCCAAAAUUAAUCUUGCACAAGCACAAGGACUGAGAUGUGUAUAAAUAUCUCUUAAAUUAGUAGCUAAUAUAUCGCACAUAUUAUUGAGACCAACUAGCAACAUAGAAAGCACAAUAGUGUACCAACAAUGGCAGCCAAAAUAUUUUGCCUCCUUAUGCUCCUUGGUCUUUCUGCAAGUGCUGCUACGGCGACCAUUUUCCCGCAAUGCUCGCAAGCUCCUAUAGCUUCCCUUCUUCCCCCGUACCUCUCACCAGCGGUGUCUUCGGUAUGUGAAAACCCAAUUCUUCAACCCUACAGGAUCCAACAGGCAAUCGCAGCUGGCAUCUUACCUUUAUCACCCUUGUUCCUCCAACAAUCAUCAGCCCUAUUACAACAGUUACCUUUGGUGCAUUUAUUGGCACAAAACAUCAGGGCACAACAACUACAACAACUUGUGCUAGCAAACCUUGCUGCCUACUCUCAGCAACAGCAGUUUCUUCCAUUCAACCAACUAGGUUCAUUGAACUCUGCUUCUUAUUUGCAACAACAACAACUACCAUUCAGCCAGCUACCUGCUGCCUACCCCCAGCAAUUUCUUCCAUUCAACCAACUAGCAGCAUUGAACUCUCCUGCUUAUUUACAGCAGCAACAACUACUACCAUUCAGCCAGCUAGCUGGUGUGAGCCCUGCUACCUUCUUGACACAACCACAGUUGUUGCCGUUCUACCAGCACGUUGCGCCUAACGCUGGCACCCUCUUACAACUGCAACAAUUGCUGCCAUUCAACCAACUUGCUUUGACAAACCCAGCAGUGUUCUACCAACAACCCAUCAUUGGUGGUGCCCUCUUUUAGAUUUCUUAUGAGUUAUAGUUCAAUAAUAAAGUUUUUUAUCUGAUGUUUGUGGCUUCCCAGAAAUAAGAAAGUACAUUUCUAGAUUCUUAUGUGCUUCUAGUCUUCAAAUGUGGUUGAUAGUUAUUGUUGGGGACUUGUUCUCAAAUGCUAAGAGUUAAGAACAAGGCAACAUAAAAAUGUUAAAUGCUAAAGUCCUUCGUCCUUCGAAGCAUUAUUUCCCUUAGGAUAUAAUGAAUUUCGGACGAAGGCUAUGAAGGACAUACCUUCAUAAGCACAACGAAUGAUGAAGAAGAAUUCAUAUAAAUUAUGAGAUAUAACAUAAACAUUUAAACAUUAUUAUUAACUCAUUUCUAUUGACUUGUCAGGGAAAAAUAGAAAUGAUAAUAAAUUACAAAUAUACCUUCGGCUUGAGAGAAGGUAAAGGUACAAGCGUGAGGCAAAAGCAAAUGCCAAGUCAGCGUGAACAGUACGGGAACACUGUUCAUCUAUUUAUAGGCACGGGACGCAGCCCAUGCAAAAUUACAUCCAGGCCCUUUGCUUUUGACAAUAACUCUAUAGUAAUCUAUCUGGGUCUAGAUAGUCUUUUCCUCUUUAAGUCGGUUUCCUCUUUUCUGCCAUCAUACCGAAGCUCCCUUGCGCACAGCUUCGGCUCUGCUCCAUCCUUCGUAUUGUUUCCGUGCUUCUUCAUACCGUGGGCUCUUGUUCGAAGAUCCCUAUCCACACAUUAUACUCCAGAGGCAUUGUUAAAUCAUGUUUUUGAGGACCUUCGGAAGUCGAAGGCCCCCAACAGUAGCCCCUCGCAAUAUUAAUUUAUUAGAAUGAUAAAUUUAGAUCGCGACAUGGACGAAGGCCUUAAGCCGAAGGUCCGAAAAAACACCUUCCCUUUGCUAGAAUAGCAACAAUCAAUGACAAGCGGGGCCCUUUCCCUUGCAACACACUAGGCGUAUAAAUAAGAGCAUACCGCGAGCGGAUUUGGCACGCUUUUUGCCAUCUGCUCUUGCUCACCCAACUUUUAGCCCUUGCACACCAACACCUGCUUGGCCUUUUUUUAAAAAAAUUUAAGCUUCGGUUUCGAGAGCACUUUCUCAGCAUUUUCGAAGAUGUCUGAAGAUAAGAAAGUUGUCGCUGAGUCGAAGCUGAGACUUUCUGAGGAGAUGAAUCUCGGCUUUCUUGAAUCAAUAGCGAAGACAAAUACAGAGAAGAUUACUAGGGAGAUUUUAGAAGGUUUAUCUGAAGACACUGGUGACAGUGACAGUUAUGAUGUGGAAAGUGGUGGUGAAGAUUCCGAAGAUCGACCCUGGUGACCAAGCCAUGCAGUUUUUGGAAAAUCAAGCAUUAAACUAAGCCAUCUUGUUAAUAUGAGGGGCAGAUAUUUUCGGGAUUUAUCUAUUGUGAGGGCUGAUGAAGGAGAAAAAACUUGUCCUACUCCUGAGGAAAAUGAAGUCGUGAUAUUCCGAAGCUUCUUCAAGGCUGGGCUUCGGUUUCCUUUAAGCGGUUUCGUGGUUGAAGUUUUGAAGAUUUUUGAAAUCUACCUCCAUCAAAUUACUCCUGAAGCAAUCAUAAGGAUGGGAAUCUUCGUAUGGGCUGUGAAGAGCCAAGGUUUGGAGCCGAAUGCAAAAAGUUUCUGCAAUAUGCAUGAGCUAUUAUACGAGACGAAACCUUGGGGUAAAGAGAAAUAUCAUAACAAUUUUGGCUGCUACAGCUUCGGCGCCCGCUCUGGGUCAAGCUGUCCCGUGCCAACUUUUUGGAAGAGAUGGCCCGGGGACUCGAUGAAGGAAUGGUGUUAUGUAAAAAACGACUUGAAAACGCGAGAAGGUAUUAAAGAUAUCAUCAUGCGCCCCAUCUGGCAGCGUUUCGGCCUUCGGAAACCGAAGGUGGAUAUUGACGAAGCAACCGAAGAAUGCCAGAGGGCCUUCGGCGUAGUUUGCUCUUUCAUCGGGACAAGGGAUUUGAUCCAGGAACAUAUUUCCUUCAGAGUAUGGCCACUUGUAGAAAAGUGGGAAAUGCCGAAGGAAACCAUCAGCAAACCUGAUGAAGUGGACUAGUUAGGUUAAAAUAUACCUUCAGAUAUGGAGAUAAGUUUGUGGAGCCAGAUGAUGACUGGCUGAAAUGUAUUGAGGCCACAAGCGAUGAACUGCUUGGGCCAUAUUCGAAGACAGAAGAUACUGCACUGUCCGCGGCCUUCGGAGGUCGGAAGAAGAGACUCAACCGAGUGUUUGAUGCCAUUGGGUUCGUCUAUCCUGACUACCGUUACCCAACACAGGGUCAGAAAGGGAAAGAUACGACUUCUGUGAAGAAAGUUGCUUCAGCCGCUCCUAGUGAGCCGGCGCCGAAGAGGAAAAAGAUGAAGGUUCUUACGCACCGGCCACGCUAUAUUGAACCGGCCACAGUGCCUGAGUUUGUCGGUGAGACCUCUUCGGCCACCGAAGCCAAGGAGCCGACUCUCCUGCCGAAUAUUGAAGAGCCGGCCAAAAUGCCGGCAAUGGAAAAAAUAGAAGAACCGAGGGCUGAAGAGACAAAGACAUCGGAAAAGAAUGGUUAACGUGCUAAUGCCGAAUAUUGAAGUCCUUCAGCAAGAAUCGAGGUGCUAAUGCCAAUGCCGAUGGCACAAAAAGACCUUACGACAACCCCCAAGAGGAAAAGAAUGGUUAACGUGCUAGAUGUACUGGAAACGAUAAAAUCUUCAAGCUCUACUCCGAAGAUAGCUACUGAAGUUCCAAAGACACAAACUGAGGCCAAAGCUGCCAAAAGUCAAGCGGAAACUGAAACUGGGCUUUCAGAGCCUACCAAGAGGGAAUUCUUGGAAAUUGAAAAAGAAACGGAAAAAGAAUCUGCAGAAGAAACUUUUUCUGAGAAAAUCGUCACACAUAUUCCCGAAGCAUCUUCUGAAGCUUCUGACUAUGUAUUACGUCAUGCUUCGGGUAAAAAUCUGAGCGAAAAAGAAAAAAGAGAAGCUCAAUUCUAUGCGCAAAAAUUGAAAUAUCCAAAAGGGGCGCUGAUAUUCAACGGCAGCGGAGAAGAAGACUUCUUGUAUUGUCUCCCUCAUAGCAAGGAGAUUUCUGUCUGUCGGGAGAUGAGCAAAAGCUUCGGAUUCCCAACAUUAGAAGACGGGCUCUUGGUGUUGUCAAAGGACGAGCUAGCCGACAGCUUAGCGUAUAAUAGUUUAAAGGUGAAGAAAAUGAGAUCUUUGUAUUAUUUCUUGAAACCAAAAUUUUUCAUUUGCUUAAACUUAUUAACGCAUUUUUUUACAGGGUCUUAUACUUAGCAAUGCCCUCAGGGCACAAAAGAAUGACGAAGACGAAGGGUGCGCCAUAGCCCUGAGCAACCUUCGUUCCGAAGUAAUUGAUCUAAGGAACGAAGGUCUCGAAAAAGAUAAAAUAUUACAUUCGUUGGUGAAUAAAAUAAAAGAAGAUGAAGCUACUUUCAAAGCUCAAGCUGAGGCUCAGAAGCACGAAAUUGAGAAUCUUCGGAAACAACUAGCCAGAGCUACAGAAGAAUACACAAUUGAAGAAACAAAACGAGAAAUUAGUGAACAAUGGGCAAAUCAUUUAGAAAAAAACGUUGAAGAGCUUCGUGCGUCCAAGAAAAGGUGUUAUGAAAAAUCUAUAGAAUGUGUUAAGAAAAUAAGAACCAGCUUCACCAACGUUGGCGCGUUUUCAAGUGAAGAAAAUUUCAUGAGGGGUGACCCCGAAAGCCCAAUUGGAUGGAUCAGCCACGAAGCUGAAGCUUUUGAAUAGCCGUGGAGACAUAUGUGCCUUCUCGGGUGCCAGGGGGAUUGCCGCUGUUUUGGAGAAGAAAGGUUGCGAUCACGUGAAAUCCCUGGCACAGACCGAAGCCGUUUUAUCCUCUGAAGACAUAAAAGACCCUUCGGCCGAGGCGAGUUUGGUUGGUGGGAAAUUUUUCACCGACAUCUGGGAAAACGGUGGCCGGGAGAUGGCUCAAGAAAUUAUACGGAGAAGCGAGAAUGGUAUACAUGACGCUAGAAAAGUAGCAGAGGCCGCUGAGAAAAGUGUGGAUCUCGAAGGGCGAAUAGGUAUUAACUAGUAAUUUUUGGCUUUUUGUUGUAACCUUUUGAUUUUGAACUUGUUUACACUUUGUAACAUGGUCGCACCUUCUCCUCCCUCAGAGCCUGCCGAGCCAUCGACAGACCCCCACGUAAAGGGGGAUGACGAGAUUAGAAGAAUGGCUGAAGCUAUCAUGGACAAAGUUGUUGAUCAAUUACUAAACGAAGCUGCAGAAAUAGUUCUAAGGGAAGAUUAGAUGUUAUUGUAAAAACAUUUGGAAUGUAAUAUUUGUUGAACAAUAUGUGUAAUAUUUUGUAACUUUGAAUGUAAUAUAUAAUCUAUUUGUGGUUCAAUUCUUUACGAUGCAUGAAACUUUACAUACAUACCGUUUUUGAGCCUUCGGCGAAAAAACACCUUCCCUUCUUUUCAUGCUUCGUAAAUAAUAUCCGUAUAUCAUAAAAACAUCCAAUUUUCGUAAAAUCAGUAACCAAUAGAUCUUUUUAUUUCAUAAAAACAUCCAAUCUUCGUAAAAUCAGUAACCAAUCUUCGUAAAGGCAUGCUUCUUCAAUAAUUAUUUUUGUGCCUUGGCACUGUUUCUUCGAAACAAUCUCCGAAUAUCAACAUUGAAACCCCCUUCUUGCGUCAUUGAUGCAAUAUGAUGUAUGAUGUUAUGCUAUGCAAAUGAUGUGAUGAUGUGAUGUUAUGCAAAAUGAUAUUUGCCGAAGAUCAACGUUUAUUUUUCACUGCAAGCCUCCCUUAGGAGCUUCUUCGCCUUUUACUUCAGCGGAAUCAGCAUUUAUUUUUCGCUGUAAGCCUCCCUUAGGAGCUUCUUCGCCUUUUACUUUCAGCGGAAUCAGCGUUUAUUUUUUGCUGUAAGCCUCCCUUAGGAGCUUCUUCGCCUUUUACUUUCAGCGGAAUCAGCGUUUAUUUUUCGCUGUAAGCUCUGCAUUCCCUUCGGAACGACUUUUGAGCAGAAAACUUACGCUGCGCUCCCUUAGGAACGACUUUUUGUUAUUUCGGAGAUUCUCCUUGUAACCAUAAAUUCUUAUGCUUCGGCAACUCUGUUAUUUUGUGGAGAAGGUAUAUUUUUACUGUGGCGAAAACGAAGCUAUUACAAGAAAUUGAAAACGACAAAAAGCACUUAGGCUUUCAAUAAUUGUUCCUUAUUAAAAAGAAAAUGAUACUGAAUGUAAAAACUACUGCCGAGGUAGGAUAUUUGUUAGUAAAUAUGCUUCGAUUCUGGCACAGUACUAUUGACUGUGCGAGCUUCGGACUCUUCUCUAAAGUCCCGUUGAAGGUGGAUAUGCUGACUCCCUUCUGGCUGCUGGCUUUGUUGCAUUGGUGGUGGAGGUGGAGGCUGCUGCCAAGAUGCCUGAGGUUGGCUUGCCGAAGCAACAGAAGCUGCAGGGUGGUUGCCUACAUACUCUGGAAUGUAAGGCGAAUGGUAUGAAGCAGUGUGCAUAACUUGCUUCGGCUGGCUCUGUUGGGCUGCAGCUUCUGCUAUCUCCUUUUGUUUCUGGAUGGUAACAUGGCACAUCCUGGUGGUAUGGCCCUUGUCCUCUCCACAGAAUAGGCAAUAGAUCUUCCUGGGCUGAUCCCCAAAUCUUCCUCCGAAGCCCCUGGCACCUCUACCCCUUGGAGCUGGAGGCCGAGGAUAGCUCUGCUGCUGCCCCGAAGCCUGGGAGGAAUAUUGCGGCCUCUGCUGCUGGCUUCCCCUGUCAUCAUUCUGAGUGUUAUGAAUCGAUCUGACAUGUCUAGGGUGAACUCUCCCUCCGAAGCCACUGGCUAUUUUGGAGAACCUGUAAGCUUCCUCCCUUCUCUAUCGGAAGUCGUUGUCAGCGCGGAUGUAUUCGUCCAUCUUCUGAAGCAGUUUCUCCAGAGUCUGAGGGGGCUUCCUGGCAAAGUACUGGGCUGAAGGUCCUGGCCGAAGCCCCUUAAUCAUGGCCUCAAUGACAAUUUCAUUGGGCACUGUUGGUGCUUGUGCCCUCAGGCGUAAGAACCUUCGGACAUACGCCUGAAGAUAUUCUCCGUGGUCUUGGGUGCACUGGAAUAAGUCUUGAGCGGUGACCGGCUUCGUUUGAAACCCUUAGAAACUGGUGAUCAGCAUAUCCUUCAGCUUCUGCCAUGAUGUGAUUGUUCCUGGCCGAAGGGAGGAGUACCAGGUUUGUGCAACAUUCUUGACGGCCAUGACGAAAGACUUCGCCAUGACUGCAAUAUUGCCACCAUAGGAAGAUAUCGUUGCUUCGUAGCUCAUCAGAAACUGCUUCAGAUCUGAGUGUCCGUUGUACAUGGGGAGUUGAGGUGGCUUGUAAGACGGAGGCCAAGGUGUAGCCUGCAGUUCUGGUGAUAGAGGAGAAGCAUCGUCAAAAGCAAAAUUUCCAUGAUGGAAAUCCUCAUACCAGUCAUCCUCGUUGACGAAGCCCUCUUGGUGGAGCUCUCUGUACUGGGGCCUCCGGUUCUAUUCAUCUUGCGUAAGAUGACGAACCUCUUUAGAGGCUUUGUCUAUCUGCCUUUGUAGGUCAGCUAGCCGGGCCAUCUUUUCUUUCUUCUUUUGCACUUGUUGAUGCAGCAUUUCCAUGUUCCUGAUUUCUUGGUCCAAAUCGUCCUCCUGAGGCGUUGGACUGGUGGCCUUCCUCUUCUGGCUUCGGGCUUCCCGAAGAGAGAGAGUCUCCUGGUUCGUGUCCAGCGGCUGCAGAGCCGCAGCCCCUGUUGCUGAAGCUUUCUUUGGCGGCAUGACAAAGGUCGAUGCUUGCCGAAGGUGUUCGAAACUCAAAAAGUGGAAGUGAGUUCACCGGAGGUGGGCACUAAUGUUGGGGACUUGUUCUCAAAUGCUAAGAGUUAAGAACAAGGAAACAUAAAAAUGUUAAAUGCUAAAGUCCUUAGUCCUUCGAAGCAUUAUUUCCCUUAGGAUAUAAUGAAUUUCGGACGAAGGUUAUGAAGGACAUACCUUCAUAAGCACAACGAAUGAUGAAGAAGAAUUCAUAUAAAUUAUGAGAUAUAACAUAAACAUUUAAACAUUAUUAUUAACUCAUUUCUAUUGACUUGUCAGGGAAAAAUAGAAAUGAUAAUAAAUUACAAAUAUACCUUCGGCUUGAGAGAAGGUAAAGGUACAAGCGUGAGGCAAAAGCAAAUGCCAAGUCAGCGUGAAUAGUACGGGAACACUGUUCAUCUAUUUAUAGGCACGGGACGCAGCCCAUGCAAAAUUACAUCCAGGCCCUUUGCUUUUGACAAUAACUCUAUAGUAAUCUAUCUGGGUCUAGAUAGUCUUUUCCUCUUUAAGUCGGUUUCCUCUUUUCUGCCAUCAUGCCGAAGCUCCCUUGCGCACAACUUCUGCUCUGCUCCAUCCUUCGUAUUGUUUCCGUGCUUCUUCAUACCAUGGGCUCUUGUUCGAAGAUCCCUGUCCACACAUUAUACUCCAGAGGCAUUGCUAAAUCAUGUUUUUGAGGACCUUCGGAAGCCGAAGGCCCCCAACAGUUAUUUUGCUCUAAGAUCGGCAGUAAUGAAGUAUAAAUCAUCGUUGUGGUGUGCUACUCGGUUAAUUGAGCAUUAACACACACAAACAUGACGAGGAUGGUAUAAUCUCCAAAAAUGUGUACUUUGUUAGGUGGGACCCUAUAGCCUUGCAGAAUGUGCUAUGUUAGGCAUGCCUGGAAACGUGUGACGCAUACGUUUUGUGAACCUGUUCAUAUUAUAUGUGCUUUUAUAUUAUCGUAUUUUAUUAAAAUACUAAUAUUUAUUACUAGUAAGAUAUAACAUUCUAUCUAGCUUAAAAACUAACCAUAAAUAUUCCAUAAUAACUAGAUUUACCAAACUAAUAUACUAAAUAUACAUAAUAAAUACAAAAUUAACAAGACAAUAAUCAAUAUUUAUGAGCUUAAUAUAUUUAGACAUUAUGGUUGGUCGACGAUAAUCAUGCUAACUUUCCGUAAUUGCUUGAUUGUAAAUAUGCUUAGAAUAAUGCCUCUUUGUUCUACAUGGCAAAUAGGGACCAUUAUGGUGUAACACCCUGGGAUCCACAAACACCCUGAAAUGCUACUAAACUACACAACUAACCUUCAUAUAUUAAAUUUCGACAGCAUCUCCUUUGAAAAUUUGUAUAAACGUGGAAGCAACAGAGUAUAAACAGAUAUGAUGAUAAGGAAACAUAAUAGACAUUAAUAAUCUGCUAGAAAUGGGAAGAUAACCAUAACGACAUAAACUGAAUUAACUAGUGUGCACGGCAUGUUAAAAACAAACAUCGUUGACAAGAAGUUUCUAAUUAAAUCAUGGCUGUGCCUAGGCAGCGUUAUUAUAUGAGUGAAGGUGGACGUGAUGCUACUUCCCUCAUUCCCAACAUGAAUCAAGUACCUGUAUUGAGUAAUGCAAGAGUGAGAUGAAAACAUCUCAGCAAGUAAAUUGUUUUGACGAGAUAUUUAAACCAAAAAAAUUUGAUUUAAUCAACAUUUUAAAGGGAUCACAAUUGAGAUCAGACAUACUUGUAGAUAUAAAACUCAAUAGUCCCAAAAUAACCAAUGCCAUCUCAUUUCCACAAACAACCACAAUAGGUUGUAUAACACUUCCCUGCGUCAUCAAUACCUGCAAAUAUCACUUCAAUGUAUGCAUAGGAAUGCAAUGUUUAAGUCCUCUGCAUUCAUACUUCUUAGAGUAUAAAACCACACCAUCUGCAAAUAUCACUUCAAUGAAUGCAUAUGAAUGCAAUGCAUAUGUCCUCUGCCUUCAUACCUCUAAGGGUAUGAAGACGCAUCGUACCCCUCCUCGGGCAACGUACGAUGCUAAGUUGUACCGGUACGGUCGGACCAUAGGUCACGACAAAACUUCAGAUGCAAGUGAAUCAUGACAUGUAUAUGGCAUGCUGCAUUUAUCAAUAUACUACACUUCCUUCACAUACAAUACAAACCUCAAAUAAUACUUCGUUUACCUUCAGAUACAAUACAAACCUCAAAUAAUACUUCAUUCACCUUCAGGGGUGUUUAUUAAUCUCGUGGGUCAUACUCAAAUCAUCAUCAUCAUCAAUGAUGUUUAAGCAUCAGUAUAAUACAAUCAAGUAAAGCAUCACCAUAGAGUUCAAUUAUGAAAGAAUUCGAUGAUUCUGAAUAUUAGAGUGUAUGCGAUGAAACAACAAAGUCAAAACGGUAGCAACCACCGCUACAUUCACUUGCCUUCAUCGAAGAAGAAAAAGGUACUAGGCAUGAUUCGGAGUGUAGACACCUGCUGUGGGGCUUAAAACUUAGUACAAAUAUUCCACAAACAUUUGCCAACAACUAACAAAUCGCUCCUACACUUGUAACCAAGACCCGGUGGAAUGACUCCCACCCUGAACCACAUGUCAAACAGCAGGAGUGCUGUUUGUUAAUUUUGUAUCUUUAAAAUUAUAACAGUGGUGAUAUCAAACAAAUACUCUAGAAGUUUCUACACAAAAUACUCUACAACUUCGGUAUUCAAUGGAUAAUUAAAUUUUGCCAUCUAUAAGUUCUAAAACAUCUGACAAGAUAACUGACAGAAUCUGUUUCAGACAGCAGCAUAGUUAACUUCAAAAUUCGAUAUCUCCCAAACUCCUCAACCAAAAUUUAUGAAAUUAUGUUGACAGUAAGAACUUUUAUCCCUCUACAAAAGUCUCCAUAGUUGGAAGAGCCAAUUCGGCCAUUUACUAGAUGAAACCUACCAUUUAACAGACCCGCUCAUUUUUGUCAGGCAAACAAGAACCCUUAUAUAUCAAAGAGUAGUGGAUUUGAAUUUGUCUAAUAUGAAGUUUAUGGGCUUGGAUCAUUUAAAGUAUUUUAUAAUUCUGAAAGACAAGAUUAAACUAACUAUGUAUGAUCCUUUAGCACCGUACAGAUGGUCGAUGGGACAGUUACAUGGUUUAUAUAGAUGGACAUAUCUAUAUUCCUUCAGUGGUUGAGAAAAAGGUAAAGGUGUGUCACACUCACGCGUGCACUGCCUCCGCCGAGACGAGGCAUGGCGUUGCAAGGUGAGGCAUGGCAUGGUGCAGCACGAUCGUAUACAUGGUCGUGGCACAGUGUAGCACUGUUGUGGAUAGAUAGAUAAACUUUUGUUGUAGUUAGAGUGCAUGAGUUUUUGAAUGCAACACAAGAAUUUUCACAAUUUAACUUAAUUAAGAAGUUAUAUCUUGAUGACACAGAGUUACCUGACCAUUGAUCUCACAUGCCCUUUUAGCUCUCUCGUUCUCUAGACUCACCCUGACUAUUUAGGUCUCCUGACUCGCCAAUAUAAACACCAUCCUAUCAUUUGCUCUCGAAUACUUCUGUGUCACAACUCAACUGUCAGAUGAGUACUCCAUUACAGCACUGAGCAGGCCUCCGAAAUGAAUAUCUACUCAGAUGAAGGACGACAAUCGUGUUCUAGGGAAAUAUCAGCGACACAACUCCUUACUUCCUCCGCUUCUUCCUAGUGUUUUUUGUUGUGAUUGAGUCGACAUAGCAACAACACUGCACUAUUACAACCAGUACGACUAUAUCAACUAGCAAUGUCUUCCUUAUAUGUUACUAUUUAUUUUGCUCAUAUUCAUUAUGUUUAAAUCACAUAGGCGCCUUUAUGUUGGCAUCAAAAAAUCAGUAUCAACUUUAUAGAUUAAAAUGAAACUAAAAGUACCUAAAUUUCUAUCGGUGGGGAUCGAGUGAUUCUUUAAACCGAUUAUUACACAAGUUAACCACACUAAAAUUAACAAUGGUGAAUCGUGCCAUGAUUUUUUUCUAGUGGAAAAUAGCCAAACCAAGCAACACAUAUGUGGCUAUCGUUACACAUGUGUAAAGGUAUUGCAUCACACCAUUGUCACCCAUGUAUUUGGACAAUACCGAGAGGAAAAACCACUUAUUUAUUGUAUUAUAUCAAGUUUGUCUUGCUUACGUAUAAAUUAUAACCCAACAAAGUAAUCACUAAAUGUCAAAACCAACUAGAUACCAUGUCAUCUCUACCUUAUCUUACUAAUAUUCUUUUUGCAAAAUCCAAAAUUAAUCUUGCACAAGCACAAGGACUGAGAUGUGUAUAAAUAUCUCUUAAAUUAGUAGCUAAUAUAUCGCACAUAUUAUUGAGACCAACUAGCAACAUAGAAAGCACAAUAGUGUACCAACAAUGGCAGCCAAAAUAUUUUGCCUCCUUAUGCUCCUUGGUCUUUCUGCAAGUGCUGCUACGGCGACCAUUUUCCCGCAAUGCUCGCAAGCUCCUAUAGCUUCCCUUCUUCCCCCGUACCUCUCACCAGCGGUGUCUUCGGUAUGUGAAAACCCAAUUCUUCAACCCUACAGGAUCCAACAGGCAAUCACAGCUGGCAUCUUACCUUUAUCACCCUUGUUCCUCCAACAAUCAUCAGCCCUAUUACAUCAGUUACCUUUGGUGCAUUUAUUGGCACAAAACAUCAGGGCACAACAACUACAACAACUUGUGCUAGCAAACCUUGCUGCCUACUCUCAGCAACAGCAGUUUCUUCCAUUCAACCAACUAGCUGCAUUGAACUCUGCUUCUUAUUUGCAACAACAACAACUACCAUUCAGCCAGCUACCUGCUGCCUACCCCCAGCAAUUUCUUCCAUUCAACCAACUGGCAGCAUUGAACUCUCCUGCUUAUUUACAGCAGCAACAACUACUACCAUUCAGCCAGCUAGCUGGUGUGAGCCCUGCUACCUUCUUGAUACAACCACAGUUGUUGCCGUUCUACCAGCACGCUGCGCCUAACGCUGGCACCCUCUUACAACUGCAACAAUUGCUGCCAUUCAACCAACUUGCUUUGACAAACCCAGCAGCGUUCUACCAACAACCCAUCAUUGGUGGUGCCCUCUUUUAGAUUUCUUAUGAGUUAUAGUUCAAUAAUAAAGUUUUUUGUCUGAUGUUUGUGGCUUCCCAGAAAUAAGAAAGUACAUUUCUAGAUUCUUAUGUGCUUCUAGUCUCCAAAUGUGGUUGAUAGUUAUUUUGCUCUAAGAUCGACAGUAAUGAAGUAUAAAUCAUCGUUGUGGUGUGCUACUCGGUUAAUUGAGCAUUAACACACACAAACAUGACGAGGAUGGUAUAAUCUCCAAAAAUAUGUACUUUGUUAGGUGGGACCCUAUAGCCUUGCAUAAUGUGCUAUGUUAGGCAUGCCUGGAAACGUGUGACGCAUAUGUUUUGUGAACCUGUUGAUAUUAUAUGUGCUUUUAUAUUACCAUAUUUUAUUAAAAUACUAAUAUUUAUUACUAGUAAGAUAUAACAUUCUAUCUAGCUUAAAAACUAACCAUAAAUAUUCCAUAAUAACUAGAUUUACCAAACUAAUAUACUAAAUAUACAUAAUAAAUACAAAAUUAACAAGACAAUAAUCAAUAUUUAUGAGCUUAAUAUAUUUAGACAUUAUGGUUGGUCGACCAUAAUCAUGCUAACUUUUCGUACUUGCUUGAUUGUAAAUAUGCUUAGAAUAAUGCCUCUUUGUUCUACAUGGCAAAUAGGGACCAUUAUGGUGUAACACCCUGGGAACCACAAACACCCCGAAAUGCUACUAAACUACACAACUAACCUUCAUAUAUAAAAUUUCGACAGCAUCUCCUUUGAAAAUUUGCAUAAACGUGGAAGCAACAGAGUAUAAACAGAUAUCAUGAUAAGGAAACAUACUAGACAUUAAUAAUCUGCUAGAAAUGGGAAGAUAACCAUAACGACAUAAACUGAAUUAACUAGUGUGCACAACUUGUUUAAAACAAACAUCAUUGACAAGAAGUUUCUAAUUAAAUCAUGGCUGUGCCUGGGUAGCGUUAUUAUGAGAGUGAAGGUGGACGUGAUGCUACUUCCCUCAUUCCCAACAUGAAUCAAGUACCUGCAUUGAGUAAUGCAAGAGUGAGAUGAAAACAUCUCAGCAAGUAAAUUGUUUUGACGAGAUAUUUAAAGCAAAAAAAUUUGAUUUACUCAACAUUUUAAAGGGAUCACAAUUGAGAUCAGAAAUACUUGUAGAUAUAGAACUCAAUAGUCCCAAAAUAACCAGUGCCAUCUCAUUUCCUCAAACAACCACAAUAGGUUGUAUAACACUUCCCUGCGUCAUCAAUACCUGCAAAUAUCACUUCAAUGUAUGCAUAGGAAUGCAAUGUUUAAGUCCUCUGCAUUCAUACUUCUUAGAGUAUAAAACCACACCAUCUGCAAAUAUCACUUCAAUGAAUGCAUAUGAAUGCAAUGCAUAUGUCCUCUGCCUUCAUACCUCUAAGGGUAUGAAGCCGAAUCGUACCCCUCCUCGGGCAACGUACGAUGCUAAGUUGUACCGUUACGGUCGGACCAUAGGUCACGACAAAACUUCAUAUGCAAGUGAAUCAUGACAUGUAUAUGGCUUGCUGCAUUUAUCAAUAUACUUCACUUCCUUCAUAUACAAUACAAACCUCAAAUAAUACUUCGUUUACCUUCAGAUACAAUACAAACCUCAAAUAAUACUUCAUUCACCUUCAGGGGUGUUUAUUAAUCUCGUGGGUCAUACUCGAAUCAUCAUCAUCAUCAAUGAUGAUUAAGCAUCAGUAUAAUACAAUCAAGUAAAGCAUCACCAUAGAGUUCAAUUAUGAAAGAAUUCGAUGAUUCUGAAUAUUAGAGUGUAUGCGAUGAAACAACAACGUCAAAACGGUAGCAACCACCGCUACAUUCACUUGCCUUCAUCGAAGAAGAAAAACAUACUAGGCAUGAUUCAGAGUGUAGACACCUGCUGUGGGGCUUAAAACUUAGUACAAAUAUUCCACAAACAUUUGCCAACAAUUAACAAAUCGCUCCUACACUUGAAACCAAGACCCGGUGGAAUGACUCCCACCCUGAACCACAUGCCAAACAAUAGUAGUGUUGUUUGUUAAUUUUGUAUCUUUAAAAUUAUAACAGUGGUGAUAUCAAACAAAUACUCCAGAAGUUUCUACACAAAAUACUCUACAACUUUGGUAUUCAAUGGAUAAUUAAAUUUUGCCAUCUAUAAGUUCUAAAACAUCUGAUAAGAUAACUGACUGAAUUUGUUUCAGACAACAGCAUAGUUAACUUCAAAAUUCGAUAUCUCCCAAACUCCUCAACCAAAAAUUAUGAAAUUAUUCUGACAGUAAGAACUUUUUUCCCUCUACAAAAGUAUCUAUAGUUGGAAGAGCCAAUUCGGCCAUUUACUAGAUGAAACCUACCAGUUAACAGACCCGCUCAUUUUUGUCAGGCAAACAAGAACCCUUAUAUAUCAAAGAGUAGUGGAUUUGAAUUUGUCUAAUAUGAAGUUUAUGGGCUUGGAUCAUUUAAAGUAUUUUAUAAUUCUGAAAGACAAGAUUAAACUAACUAUGUAUGAUCCUUUAGCACUGUACAGAUGGUCGAUGGGACAGUUACAUGGUUUAUAUAGAUGGACCUAUCUAUAUUCCUUCAGUGGUUGAGAAAAAGGUAAAGGUGUGUCACACUCACGUGUGCGCCGCCUCUACCGAGAUGAGGCAUGGCGUUGCAAGGUGAGGCAUGGCAUGGUGCAGCACGAUCGUAUACAUGGUCGUGGCACAGUGUAGCACUGUUGUGGAUAGAUAGAUAAACUUUUGUUGUAGUUAGAGUGCAUGAGUUUUUGAAUGCAACACAAGAAUUUUCACAAUUUAACUUAAUUAAGAAGUUAUAUCUUGAUGACACAGAGUUACCUGACCAUUGAUCUCACAUGCCCUUUUAGCUCUCUCGUUCUCUAGACUCACCCUGACUAUUUAGGUCUCCUGACUCGCCAAUAUAAACACCAUCCUAUCAUUUGCUCUCGAAUACUUCUGUGUCACAACUCAACUGUCAGAUGAGUACUCCAUUACAGCACUGAGCAGGCCUCCGAAAUGAAUAUCUACUCAGAUGAAGGACGACAAUCGUGUUCUAGGGAAAUAUCGGUGACACAACUCCUUACUUCCUCCGCUUCUUCCUAGUGUUUUUUGUUGUGAUUGAGUCGACACAGCAACAACACUGCACUAUUACAACCAGUACGACUAUAUUAACUAGCAAUGUCUUCCUUAUAUGUUACUAUUUAUUUUGCUCAUAUUCAUUAUGUUUAAAUCACAUAGGCACCUUUUUGUUGGCAUCAAAAAAUUAGUAUCAACUUUCUAGAUUAAAGUGAAACUAAAAGUACCUAAAUUUCUAUCGGUGGGGAUCGAGUGAUUCUUUAAACCAAUUAUUACGCAAGUUAACCACACUAAAAUUAACAUUGGUGAACCGUGCCAUGAUUUUUUCUAAUGGAAAAUAGCCAAACCAAGCAACACAUAUGUGGCUAUCGUUACACAUGUGUAAAGGUAUUGCAUCACACCAUUGUCACCCAUGUAUUUGGACAAUACCGAGAGGAAAAACCACUUAUUUAUUGUAUUUUAUCAAGUUUGUCUUGCUUACGUAUAAAUUAUAACCCAACAAAGUAAUCACUAAAUGUCAAAACCAACUAGAUACCAUGUCAUCUCUACCUUAUCUUACUAAUAUUCUUUUUGCAAAAUCCAAAAUUAAUCUUGCACAAGCACAAGGACUGAGAUGUGUAUAAAUAUCUCUUAAAUUAGUAGCUAAUAUAUCACACAUAUUAUUGAGACCAACUAGCAACAUAGAAAGCACAAUAGUGUACCAACAAUGGCAGCUAAAAUAUUUUGCCUCCUUAUGCUCCUUGGUCUUUCUGCAAGUGCUGCUACGGCGACCAUUUUCCCACAAUGCUCACAAGCUCCUAUAGCUUCCCUUCUUCCCCCGUACCUCUCACCAACGGUGUCUUCGGUAUGUGAAAACCCAAUUCUUCAACCCUACAGGAUCCAACAGGCAAUCGCAGCUGGCAUCUUACCUUUAUCACCCUUGUUCCUCCAACAAUCAUCAGCCCUAUUACAGCAGUUACCUUUGGUGCAUUUAUUGGCACAAAACAUCAGGGCACAACAACUACAACAACUUGUGCUAGCAAACCUUGCUGCCUACUCUCAGCAACAGCAGUUUCUUCCAUUCAACCAACUAGCUGCAUUGAACUCUGCUUCUUAUUUGCAACAACAACAACUACCAUUCAGCCAGCUAUCUGCUGCCUACCCCCAGCAAUUUCUUCCAUUCAACCAACUGACAGCAUUGAACUCUCCUGCUUAUUUACAGCAGCAACAACUACUACCAUUCAGCCAGCUAGCUGGUGUGAGCCCUGCUACCUUCUUGACACAACCACAGUUGUUGCCGUUCUACCAGCACGCUGCGCCUAACGCUGGCACCCUCUUACAACUGCAACAAUUGCUGCCAUUCAACCAACUUGCUUUGACAAACCCAGCAGCAUUCUACCAACAACCCAUCAUUGGUGGUGCCCUCUUUUAGAUUUCUUAUGAGUUAUAGUUCAAUAAUAAAGUUUUUUGUCUGAUGUUUGUGGCUUCCCAGAAAUAAGAAAGUACAUUUCUAGAUUCUUAUGUGCUUCUAGUCUCCAAAUGUGGUUGAUAGUUAUUUUGCUCUAAGAUCAACAGUAAUGAAGUAUAAAUCAUCGUUGUGGUGUGCUACUCGGUUAAUUGAGCAUUAACACACACAAACAUGACGAGGAUGGUAUAAUCUCCAAAAAUGUGUACUUUGUUAGGUGGGACCCUAUAGCCUUGAUUAAUGUGCUAUGUUAGGCAUGCCUGGAAACGUGUGACGCAUAUGUUUUGUGAACCUGUUGAUAUUAUA